UCAGCUUCCUUCGAUUAUUCCAACAAUAUCCAUUUCCCAUAUUAAUUCUUCUACUUCUCUUGCUGUGCUUCAUCUCCCCUCGAAUGGUCUCACUUCUUCAAUAUACCCAUGGUUGUUCAACUUCAGUAGCAGCCUUGUUCAUCUUGACCUCUCUUGGAAUGAUCUAAAUGGUUCAACUCCGGAUGCUUUUGGAAACAUGACUACUCUGGCAUAUCUUGAUCUCUCUUCGAACGAGCUACGUGGUUCAAUUCCGGAUGCUUUUGGAAACAUGACUACUCUGGCAUAUCUUGAUCUCUCUUGGAACAAGCUACGUGGUUCAAUUCCGGAUGCUUUUGGAAACAUGACUAGUCUGGCAUAUCUUGAUCUCUCUUUGAAUGAACUUGAAGGUGAGAUUCCAAAAUCCUUGACAGAUUUAUGUAAUUUACAGGAAUUAUGGUUGUCUCAGAACAAUCUCACUGGACUGAAGGAAAAAGAUUAUCUGGCCUGCCCUAAUAACACAUUAGAGGUUUUAGAUUUAUCUUAUAAUCAAUUGAAAGGGUCAUUUCCCAAUCUUUCUGGAUUUUCACAGUUGAGAGAAUUAUUUCUUGAUUUCAAUCAACUAAAGGGAACUUUACAUGAAAGUAUUGGACAACUAGCUCAACUUCAACUGUUGUCCAUUCCUUCAAAUUCAUUGCGAGGCACUGUCUCCGCAAACCACCUUUUUGGUCUCUCCAACCUGUCUUACUUAGACUUAUCUUUCAACUCCCUUACAUUCAACAUAAGCCUUGAGCAAGUUCCCCAGUUUCGAGCCUCAAGUAUACUAUUGGCCUCUUGCAAAUUAGGCCCACGUUUUCCUAAUUGGCUUCAAACUCAAGAAGUUUUGAGCGAACUUGAUAUCUCUGCUUCUGGAAUUUCAGAUGUCAUUCCCAAUUGGUUUUGGAAUUUAACUUCAGAUUUAAAUUGGUUAAACAUUUCCAACAAUCACAUCUCGGGCACUUUGCCCAAUUUACAAGCAAGGUCUUAUUUGGGAAUGGAUAUGAGUUCAAAUUGCUUGGAAGGUUCAAUACCACAAUCUGUUUUCAAUGCUAGAUGGUUGGAUCUCUCCAAGAACUUGUUUUCAGGCUCAAUUUCUUUAUCGUGUGGGACUCCUAAUCAGCCUAGUUGGGGUUUGUCUCAUCUUGACCUCUCAAAUAAUCGACUAUCAGGAGAACUACCCAAUUGUUGGGAGCAGUGGAAAGAUUUAAUUGUUCUUGAUUUGGCAAAUAAUAAUUUUUCUGGGAAAAUUAAAAAUUCGAUUGGCUUGUUACAUCAGAUGCAAACAUUGCAUUUAUGUAACAAUAGUUUUACUGGAGCACUGCCUUCGUCCUUAAAGAACUGCAGAGCUUUGCGUCUUAUAGAUUUGGGAAAAAAUAAAUUGUCAGGAAAAAUAACCGCAUGGAUGGGAGGAAGCCUGUCAGAUUUGAUCGUUCUCAACCUAAGAUCUAAUGAAUUUAAUGGAAGCAUACCUUCAAGUCUUUGUCAACUGAAACAGAUUCAAAUGUUGGACCUCUCUAGCAACAAUCUAUCAGGAAAGAUACCAAAAUGUCUCAAAAAUUUAACUGCCAUGGCUCAAAAAGGAAGUCCGGUCCUUUCUUACGAAACAAUUUACAAUUUGAGUAUCCCAUAUCACUAUGUUGAUAGUACAUUGGUUCAAUGGAAAGGAAAAGAACAAGAGUACAAGAAAACUCUUAGAUUCAUUAAGAGCAUUGAUUUUUCAAGAAACCAAUUAAUUGGUGAAAUUCCAAUAGAAGUAACUGAUUUGGUAGAAUUGGUGUCUUUGAAUUUAUCAAGAAACAAUUUGAUUGGAUCAAUCCCUACAACAAUUGGUCAAUUGAAAUUAUUGGAUGUUCUUGAUCUAUCUCAAAACCAACUUAAUGGUAGAAUUCCGGAUACUCUUUCUCAAAUAGCCGAUCUAAGUGUUUUAGACCUAUCAAAUAACACCUUGUCAGGUAAAAUUCCAUUAGGCACUCAAUUACAAAGCUUUGAUGCCUCCACAUAUGAGGGAAAUCCUGGACUUUGUGGACCACCUCUUUUGAUAAGGUGUCCUGAAGAUGAACUUGGGGGAGUCUCCUUCACUAGUGGUCUUAGUAGUAAAAAAGAGGACAUUCAAGAUGAUGCAAAUAAUAUAUGGUUUUAUGGAAAUAUUGUUCUUGGAUUCAUCAUCGGAUUUUGGGGAGUUUGCGGCACUUUACUAUUCAAUAGUUCAUGGAGAUAUGCCUAUUUCCAAUUGUUGAGCAAGAUAAAGGAUUGGUUGUACAUGACAACAAUAGUAAAUAUGAAUAGAAUACGAAGGAGCCUGCAAGGUUAAAUGGUAAGACUUCUCAAAUUCUCUUUUUAGUUUUUCUGGUAAAAUGUGUUAACUUCUAUUUAUUAUCCAACAGUUAAGAAUAAAAAGUACACUUUAUGCUACUACUCAAAUCCCUCUUCUAUUAUUUGAUUGACCUUCCACAAUAUAUUGAUGAAAGCUUAGAUUUUGCAAAUAGAAGCAUCGAUAAAAUAAGCAAGCGUAGAAGAUUUUAAUAUACUUUUUUGUAAUAGUUGUGCAUAUUUAGCUUUCAUCAUGUAAAGAUUAAUCUUAUAGGCCGAGGAUCAUAGUUGAAGAAUGAUUAUUUGUAUUUUUAUUUCUAUCUUACUUCAAGUUACAAUUUUUUCUUUUAAAUGUUAAGUUAAUUUGUUGUCUUCAAAUAUUAUAAGUACAUUAAAAGUUCAAUUGUAAGUAACAUACUAAAACCUUCAUUUCUACUAAUCAAGAAGAGUCGCAACUAAGAAAUUAUUCCAAAUUGAUGAGCGUUGUUGCAUUUCAUCUUUGUAUUACAGGACUUCAGCUGGGUUGCAUCUCAAGGAUUAGUAGGUGAUAUAUGCUUUUGAGUAACGGGAGUAUUUAUGAUGGGAUAGUUACAUGCCUUAAUGCAAAAGCUUGUCAUCGGAUAAAUGACAUCAACAUGUAUUAAGUUUGCUUAUUUGGUAGUUAGCUUGGCUUUAAGUUUCUCGUGUUAUAUUCUAUUUAGAACUUUUUAAACAUUAAUUUUUGCUAUUAUAUGUACGACUUUGUAUUUUGUUGCUCUAAAAUUUAUUUGUUAUUUUUGUAGAAUCAAAUAUUAGAGGCCUUUGUAGGGGGUGCUAAAAAAAUACUUCAUCUUAGAAAAAUAUUUUUUUUUUUGCUCAAAAACAAAGUUUAUUUUUUGGGAAAUGCAAUGUGAUAAUACCCAUUAGUAUGAAAUGUGGGAUAUGCUACUACUGAAAACAGAGCACUCUGUUUUUUUGGUGCUCAAGCAUGAAAGCUCCUGUAACACAGAGAGGUCUGAUUUCCAACCGUGAAUCAAAUUGCUUAAGGUACUCCAUAUGCAGAUUGCUGGAAGUCACUUUGGGCAUCAAUCAUCUUCAAGGGACGAUGAUGAUGGGAAUUGGAUCAACGGCGGUAAAGACCAACUAUGGAAAGUUUGCUAAAAAGCUCCCAUUUCUUUAUUUUGGUUUCUGCUUUUGUAAAUAACAAUGUUAUCCAAAAUUUGUGUUGGUUGCUCAAGUUUUGUAAAAGCUAUUCAACCAAUACAAAUCGCUACAUAAUAUGCAUUUUGCCGAAGAUCUGUGAUGAUUUGGAGCUCUCUCCAAUGCCAUACCAGGUUACAACUGAAACAAGCAUCUUAUUUAGGAAUAGUUAACAACAACGAAGAACUGCAAUUUAUAUUUGUGUUUUUUGUUCCACUGAAUAUUGCAGUAAUCAACUUAUGGAAGAAGUUGGAGCUGUUGGAGAAGAAAGUGCUCUUCAUGUUUGCUCAAACAAUUCAGAGGGAAGUUUAGCUUUUGCUUUGGUAGUUGUGAAGUUGCAAACUGUUAUUAGAAUAAGAAGCCUCUACUUUUGCUUGUUACUGAAUAUGAAUUUUUUUUUUAAGAAGUAAAUUUGCUAAUUAUUGUUCUUUUUCUUAGGCACCCAAGAAAAGAGUAUGUACUUUUAGCAAAGACCAAGAGGAAACUAUUAGAGCUUCAUUUGAGCAGUGAGUGCUUAAUUUGUUCUUUUUUGUGGCAUAUGCAUGUAGUCUUAAAUUUGAUUUCCCUCUGCAUAAUUGAUGCUGAAUAUUGUGAUUUUGGAAAGAUUAAUGCUAGUCUCCUUUUCGUCUUUUAAAUUAAAUUAGAUUUGUUUACGUAUAGGUUUAAAGACCAUAAAAGGUGCACCUACAUGAUUGUAAGUGCUCUAGAUGGUGAUGGUACGUUCACAGCUGCCCAAGUUUCCCAUAAGCUCAAGCAACAAUUUGCUUGUGUUCCUCAUCAAAAAAAGAGUUGAAGACAACUUGCAUUUGAGAGAUGAAGAUCUUAAUGGUUGUGAUAUAGCCAAAGCACAGGAUUCCAAUGAUGAAACAUUGUUUUCACUAAGAAAAAGGUAACUAUAUCUUUAUGAAUUUCAUGCAAUUUUGUGAAUUAAUCUUAUUUGUGUGAUAUCCCACAUCGAAUGAGGGGAAAACUAUUAUAUAUACAUAUAUAGGUUCUCUUAGACACGUUUUAAAACUCAUGAGGGCCCCUUAAGCCCAUAAUAGAUAAUAACUACAUAGUUAGCAGUGGAUCGUUAUAGCUUGUAUGCAAACUUUAUCACAUACUUGCAUCUUUGUGGUUGCAGACUUGUAGUGUAUUUGCAUUUGCUUGCAUUUGUCAAGUACUAUACUUUGGUGAUGAAAUCAUAAAUUCAUGACACUCAAGACUUAAUCCAAUUGACAUGUUUUUUUUUUUACUAAAUACAAUAACUAAUUCUUAAGUUAUAAAUUAUAUCACCAAAUUAUUUUUUUACAAUAUAUAGUUUAUUUCAAAUUUUAUUUUAUUUUUCUUCACCUCUUAGGUUUAUCACUUUACAUUACAAAAUAAAAUAAAUUGCAAUUUCCCUUUUCACAAGAUUUUUAUUUUUACAAAAUAUUCAAUAUUUUCCAACUUUUAUAAAAUAAUUUCCGAAAUUAUAUAAUCGGCUGUUAUAAAGAUUUUAAAUUUUUGUGUUGUCAUGGGAUUAUUUUGUUGGCAUGCUUGACCCAGUUGGUAACUUAGGUUUUUUUUUUUUUUUUAAUUCGCCUGACCUUCACAUGUGGCCUAUUACCAUUGGUGGAAAAUUGUGGGUAAGGUGAGAUUUCGGUACCCAAGCUUGACCAUAUAUAUCUGUGAAUUACGCAGAAGACUCGAAAAGUCAAAGGAAAAAUCCUGGGAACCAAGCUGGAAAACACAGGACUGUUAUUUCAGGGAAGGUGUACGUUUGGGGGCAUAUUACAGCUUGGGUACUGAACAAGAGGCAUGUAAGAAGUCUGGCCAUGGAUGCAGAAGAAGAAAAGCAAAGUAAAACCCACAUCCAUGGACAGUUGGUAGAGAUAAACCACAAUCAGGAGAAACGAAUACGCCACGAAGAAACAAAGGCACAGAAUCUGACAACUGGGUUUGCGGUCGUCCAAGUUUUAAUUCUCAACACACUGGUGAUCAACAAGCCAUCCGGCAGAUGCGAACACUGGUGGGUGCCAUUCUCUCUCUCCUUAUCAGUCGGUGUGAUUUAUUUCGUCACCAUUUUUGAGGUAGUGAAGAAAUGCUACCUUCUGCUCUACCAUUUGGACGUCAACUACAUGGAGCAAGAAGCCAUUCUUCUGGAAAUGCAUGGGGGUGCUUCGUCCCGGCGACAUGAUCAGCCAUUGAAGCCAGAUGUGGUGAAGCUCCUGAGGCGUAAAGCUUAUAUCACGAUACUGAUUUCUGCCAUGCUCGCCUUUCAAGCUCUGAUGCUCCACGCCUGCAGCUCCUUUCUUUGCAACUGAGAUUAACCAUUAGCUAUGUUCACAUGUGAUUAAUGCUCUUGCCGUUUUAAAUACAUAAGAAUAAUGUUGUUUCAAAAAUCGUUUGCUUAUAUUUAAAUACUAUUUUCUCUUUUCCAACUGUCCUUACAAAUAGUCUUAUGCUUAGUAGUAGAAAAAAAAAAAAUAUUAAGAUGAAAAUUAUGUAAUUCAAAUUGAAUGCAUCAAUGGAACCGAAAUUAUUCAUCGUGAAAUUUAUUUACAUCGUUUUUCUUUCCAAAGUAUUUUCUAGUUGGAAAGAAAAUUCCAACAUUGCAAUUUUCGUUAGAAAAACGGGACAAAUUAUAAAAGAAAAGAAAAAUCAAUCUCAAAUACCAAUAUUAAAAUGAUUUAUCUAUUUAUCAACACAAUUUGAGUGGAAGAAAUAAAGACACGUGGAAAUCUAUAUAUCAGGAAUCAAAUAGGGUCAAGAAUGGGUUCCAACAAGAACCAUCAAUGGGCUGCCCAAUCAAUAACAAAAGGCCCUCGAUGGGUCUCAUGGGCCAAACAAAAUGGAGCCAGCACACAAUAAGUUUAAACCCAAAUAAAAAUUUCAAGUACAUAUUUUCAAUCCCAUUUAUAAUUUAUUCAUUUAAAUUAGAAAUCUAUAUAUCAAGAAUCAAAUUAGAGAGACCAAAAUUAACAUAUCAGAGUAGAAAUCUUUACAAUCAAAUUUCUUUUUUAUAAAUUUAAAAAUAUUUUCUAUAACUAAUUUAGAUUAGCAAAAAAGAAAAAAAAAAUCUUCAUCGGACCACACAUGUGAUACACUUUGGUAGUUGUUUUUAAAUUUCAAUAAACAUUCUUACAUCAAAAGUAUAAAAAAAACUAAAAAAAAAAAGGAAAUGUUUAGGAAAGUUUGAUUUUAUUGUAGAAAUUAAACAAAAAAAAGUUAAAUAUAAUUAAAAUUAGUAAAAAAAACUUAAAUAUUUUUAGAUUAUUUUAAGUUUGAUGUAAAGUAUAAAAAUAAUUUUUUAAUUUUAAAUCAAUUUUUUUUCUUUGCUUCUAUUUUUUUCUUUAUUUUUUUUUCUUUUCCUCACAUUUUUUCUUUCACUCCUGAGGAACCAAACAUAACCUAAAAGUUUUAAAUAUAUAAAAAAAAACUUCAUAUUAUAUAUAUAAGGGUUGUUAUUAUAUUGAUUUAUAUAAGUACAAUAUGAUUUUUUUUUUUUUUAUAACCGUGGAUGUUCGGGCCAGCUUACGCGCACCUCGACUAAUCCCACGGGGCCCUGAAGUUAACGACCGGGUAAACCUCCAGUGGCCCUGAGGGGACUCGAACUGGUGACCAUAAGGGAGCAAACCCAAGGCCGGACCAACUGAGUUACCCCUCAGGGUUAUAAGUACAAUAUGAUUAUUCAAAUCAUAUUACAUGUAUAGAAUACGAGAAAUCAAGUUGUGUCAUACUCAAAAUUUCAACAUGAUAGAUAUAGCUUUUGAAGACUUUUCCUUUGCGAUUAAUUCUUAUACUUGGAAUUUGUUUAGGUAGGGUAGGGUUUUUGGAAGUUUGUUCGCAAUUUUCUCAUACUUGGAAACAAUUUCCAAAGGAAUGGUCAGAGAAAGGAACUAAACAAAUAGAAGAUUGAAACGGACUAGAUAGACCCUCACCUGCACCGAAGGUUUGUAUGAUCUUCGUGGACCGCAGGCCGCAUGGCCUUCUCAAGCCUCCAUGCCUUGCUUUUCCGCUUAUAAAGAACAGCCAAAAAGGACUUGACUGAUCUGAAAAAUCAGUGGCCGGAAAAGCGAGCUCGACACGGAGAAACAAUUGCCCAUGCAGUUUGGGAGAUCACAGAGCGAACUGUUGGAGUCUGGGCUUUUGUUUCUUCGUGUCGAUCUCGCUUCCCUUUAUGGCAGAGCUUUUCUCACCCUUCAGACACUCUCCUCCCAAACCAACCUCUCACAGCUUCAAUGCAGCUCACAUCCUCCUCACCGGCGCAUGGUGGUUACUACACUAUCCAGAUGCUGCAGCAGCCCACUUCCCUCAGCCUUGGACUCAUCUACAACUUGCCCGACUCUUACAUCACCUCGUUGCAGUCUUACACCAACUACUCCUACUGGUCUGGACCCGAUAUAUCAAACGUAACAGGCGAUGUAGUCGCGGUUUUAGACAGGGCGGGGAGCUUUGGGAUCAUGUAUGGGUCAUCAUCUGAUGGGGCGGUUUAUGUUUACAAAAGUGAUACUGAUGAGAAAGGGCUGUCUUCGUCGUGUGAAUCAGAUAGUUAGGCCAUUAGUUCUUCGAAGACUGAUACUCGAGAUGAAUGGGAAUUUGAGGCUGUAUCGUUGGGACGAUGAUGUGAACUGCACUCGCCAAUGGGUGCCUGAAUGGGCUGCAGUUUCUAACCCAUGUGAUAUUGCUGGGGUUUGCGGAAAUGGGGUGUGUAGCUUGGACAGAAGCAAGACUAAUGCCUCCUGUACAUGCCUGCCGGGGGCUUCUAAGGUGGGAGACAGCGGCCAGUGCUCAGAGAAUUCGUCGGUGUCAGCUGGGAAAUGUGAUAAUAAUCAUCGGAAUUCAACUGCUUCCAAGCUGAAGAUGUCUAUAGUACAGCAAACUAACUACUAUUACCCUGAAUCUUCGAUUAUAGCAAAUUAUAGUAACAUGUCCCAAUUGUCAAAGUGUGGGGAUGCUUGUUUAUCAGACUGUGAUUGUGUUGCUUCCGUGUAUGGGCCGAGUGAGGAAAAGCCUUACUGUUGGCUGCUGAACAGCUUGGAGUUCGGUGGAUUCGAGGACACGAGUUCGACGUUGUUUGUGAAGGUUGGGCCUAAUGGGUCACCUGAAGACAAAGCAACAGGAUCUGGGGAUUCAUCUGAUGGCCUCCGGGACAAGGUCUUGGUUCUUCCAAUUGUUCUCAGCAUGACUGUCCUUGUAGCACUCCUCUGCCUGUUGUUAUAUCACACUCUGUACAGAAGGAGGGCCUUGAAGAGAUCCCUGGAAAGCUCCUUGAGUGUGUCCGGUGCGCCAAUGAAUUUCAGUUACCGCAAUUUGCAGUCCAGAACCGGCAAUUUUUCGCAGUUGCUCGGCACAGGUCAGCAUGUACAUAUACAUAUACUUUGAAAGGGAUGAAAUUGUUUGAACAAAGCCAGUUGGACUUGAUCAAUUUGGAUUAAUGUUGUCUUCUCUUUUUUUCAGGAGGGUUUGGGAGUGUAUACAAGGGAAGCCUUUCAGAUGAGGCAUUGGUUGCAGUGAAGAAGCUUGACAAGGUUUUGUCUCAUGGGGAGAAGGAAUUCAUAACUGAAGUGAACACCAUUGGCUCUAUGCAUCACAUGAACCUGGUUCGCCUAUGUGGCUACUGCUCGGAAGGCUCUCACCGGUAUGCAUUUCAUUUCAUCGCCUAAAACCAAUUACCACUAACCAUAAUUAAAUUCUUGUCAUCCUCUUUUGUGGUCAAGCAUACUAUAUUUUCGAGCUUAUAAUGGGGUUGGAAUUUGAUGAUUCUUCACAGGCUUCUGGUUUAUGAGUUCAUGAAAAAUGGUUCCUUGGACAAGUGGAUAUUCCCCUCAAAGCAUUGCCGGGACAGACUGCUAGAUUGGGGAACUCGUUUCCAUAUAGCCAUUGCUACUGCACAAGGGAUUGCUUAUUUUCAUGAGCAGUGCAGGAAUCGGAUAAUCCACUGCGAUAUCAAGCCUGAAAACAUACUUCUAGAUGAGAAUUUCUGUCCAAAAGUUUCAGACUUUGGACUAGCAAAGCUGAUGGGCAGAGAGCAUUCACAUGUUGUCACUAUGGUGAGAGGAACUAGGGGCUAUCUGGCUCCAGAAUGGGUUAGCAACCGGCCUAUUACUGUAAAAGCCGAUGUCUACAGUUACGGAAUGCUUCUCCUGGAGAUUGUUGGUGGCCGGAGAAACCUUGACAUGACCUUUGAUGCAGAAGACUUCUUCUAUCCUGGGUGGGCUUUUAAGGUAUAGAUCAAUCAAGUUCUUGCUUCUGUAAAUCACAAAUUGUUAAGUGUUUGAUAUUUUAUUAACGAAAAUGCCAAUUCCUCUAGGAAAUGAGUAAUGGGACGACAAGAAAAGUUGCAGACAGGCGACUGGAAGGGGCAGUGGAGGAAGAGGAGCUAGAAAGAGCAUUGAAAACUGGCUUUUGGUGCAUUCAAGAUGAGGUUUUCAUGAGGCCUUCAAUGGGGGAAGUGGUGAAGAUGUUGGAAGGAUCACUUGAAAUCAACACACCGCCAAUGCCACAGACAGUUCUGGAGCUCAUGGAGGAGGGCUUAGACAAUGUAUACAGAGCCAUGAAGAGAGAGUUCAACCAGUCCAGCUUCUUCACCAUCAAUAAUAGUACCCAUCCUUCAUCAAGGGCUACAUGUAGUUAUUCCACAAUGUCACCUAGAUAGCAAAGGAGAAAUGGAACAAAUUUUGUUGUUGUCCCGGAAUUUUAUCACCUUGAUAGAUACUGUCCAGAAACAUAAUUCUUAUUGAUCAAUUGUUACCAUACAUACUAAUGGGCAAUGAAAUUAGUAGAGAACUUUGCAUAGGUUGAGGUACGAAAAUCUCGGUCUUUUAAAGGAGAUUUAAGCCAUUUCUGGUUUGACAAUUUGAGAAAUUGGUGUAUUUGACUUCUCUUUGAUUUGUCCCCACAAGGAUACGAUAGUCGGCCAAGUGAUUUGUUGCAUAGCUCACAUCAAUAUGCAUAAAGCAUAGAACUUAAGGCUUCACAAAGAAAAAAAAAAAAAAGAAGAAGAAAGGAAGAAGAUAACUAAAAAAAGUCUAAAAAACAUGACAUUAGGAGGAUGAGUCAAAAGACUCAUCAUAAAGUUUAAAAUCUUCAACAAUUUUGAAAGAAUUCAAUCUAGCUCUUUAAUUUUUAUAAGCUAAAUCCCAUUGACAUAAAUGAUAUUUAAUACUUCUCAAUUCCCAUAAUUGUAACUACAAAUUCAAUAAUCCAUUAUGCCAACUUUAAUCCCCUUAACUUUCAUAUAUAACCAUAAUGUUGGUAGCUAGUUUACAUUGAUAACUUUGUUCCAAACUUGUUGGAUCUAACUCUAAUAUUUAAUUACUUCAUGUGACUUACAUUGGACUUGAAAACUUGAAAUUUUUAUCAAUUCCUCCUUAAGGUCAUUCUGGUAACUAUGAUUAAGUUUGUUCGGGUGAAUAAUGACAUCAAAAGGUAUAUGCUGGUUUUUAUUAGAUGAUGUGAAAAUAAUAGGGAAAAAAAGAAAAAAAGAAUCGGAUUUUGAUGAGCAAUCAAGUGAUCCUUAUGAGUGCUUAAGUGCCCAUAACGACUUUACAUAAUUUUUUACUAAUUUUCUUAUUCCAUUUUUUCAUGAUAUUUUUCCGCUACGAUUUUUAAGAUUAUGAUUACACCUUAUGUUAUUGAUUUGAUAUAUGUUUUUUAGAGCUAUAUGCUAUUAUUCUCUAAGAGCCCCAUCGUGGAUUAAGUUUAGUUUGUGGUGAUUUCUUUCAUUAAGGAAUACUCUCUCUCUCUCUCUAAUUGGGAAAUAUCAUCGAUAUGUUGGUGGACAUUGAAGUGAAAUAUAGGAUAGUUUGUGGUGAUUUCUUUCAUUAAGGAAUACUCUCUCUCUCUCUAAUUGGGAAACAUCAUUGAUAUGUUGGUGGACAUUGAAGUGACAUAAGGGGAGAUGGAUAGAUAUUGAAGUGACAUAUAGGGGAGAUAUAUCCAUCUACUGAAGUUUCGGUUAUUUUUUAAAAAUUUGAUAUUUUUGCCAUUCACAUAUUUAAGAGAAUAAAAUAUAAAAGAGUUAAAUAUCUUAUUCCUCGUAAAAUUGAAAUUUCAACUUUUGAAAUGUCAAAUUACAAAAUUAUAAAACACAUUAAAUUUUGAUAUGCCUUAGAAAAAAAACAUAUUUAAUUCAUUUUUUUUUAAUUUUCUUUGUUAUCUUAUUAAUUAAGUUAGCAAAUUACAUUAAAAAUCAAAUAACAAUGGAUCAAUUAAAAGAUAUAACACUAUGUUCGGUUGUCUAAGAUUUGAAAGUAAUGACAACAAAAAGAAAACAAAGAAAAAAAUAAAAAUAAAAAUAAAAAAAAUAAAAAAAUAUUUAAAAUUAAUAAAUUAUUUUUACAUCUUAAUAAAUUAUUUUUACAUAAUUCUUUAUUCAUUCCACUUAUUUAUACUCUUUUAUAUAAAAAUUAAAUAAUUUUAAAAAUAUAUAAAAUUUUAAUUAAUUUUAAUUAUAUUUGAUUUUUCUUUACACUUUUUUAGAGUUAAUUUUGUUCACCUUCUAGAGCUUUGGGUUAAAUAUAUUUAGUCACCUUGAGUUUAAAAUUUUAUCAAAUAUCUUUCUUCCUUUUUUUUUGAGUUAGAGGUAGGGGCAUAACUUGAGCGGAUAGGCCCUACUCAACCUGAUGUUUGAAUAGCUUGAACAAUUAUUUUCAAUACUUGAGUUGUGAUAGAUUAAAUAUUUUCAAUUCGAGCUCAAUUUGGACGACUAAAGAUUCAAACAACUCAAACCUAAUCCAAAUUGGAUUUAAUAUUUUUAUAAUAUUUAUAAUAUAAAAUAUCAAAUAUUAUUAUUACAUAUCAUAUCUUGAAAUUUUGUUCUAUUAAUUAUUUAAAUUUUGACAUAAAUAUAUGAGUUUAUUAUACUUUACCCCUAUAACCUAUAACUUGUUUUACACAUUGUUCCAUCAAGUUCAAAAUUGAGUAAUGUACCUUCCAUAUUUAAUAACUGUACGUAAUGUGCAUUUUUUUUAAAGACAACUUUAUUUUUUGGACGGAAAGGUACGUGCUCUCCGCGUGAUUGAGGGUAAAAGUGUCUUUUUUCCUUUGCAACUCCCUCUCUCGAUCAUUACUCCCCUUUGGAACCCCAAAUUGUAGCCCGCUUCUUCCUGACCCGUUCUUCUUUCCUUCCUUCAAAGCCUUAGAAUGUGAAUCCCAAAAAGUUGCUACUGAAGCCCUAGAAAAUUUCUCAUGUUUGUAGGGUGGAAAUGUUUCUCCAAAUUUCCCUAAAAAAUUGCCCAAAAAUUUCCCCAGUUUUUUGAAACACAAAAACAAAACCCCAACCCUAAACUAGAAGCAUAACAAAAAAAAUUUAAACCCUAACAUAAAAACCCUAGCCCUCAAUUGGCCCUAGUUUUAUUCAACCAUAAAUCCCCCAAAUUUCCCCUGAAAAUUGCCUUUAAAUUUCUACAAAAUUUCCCCCAAAAUUCUCCUAGUUUUCUUAAACAUGAAAAUGAAACCCUAACCUUGAACUAAAAUCAUAACAUAAAAAUUUAAACCCUAACAUGAAAACCCUAACCCUCAAUUUGCCUGAGUUUUAUUCUUCCAUAAUUUCCACAAAAUUUCCCCAAAUUUUCUGAAAGAUCCAAACGAAACCCUAACCCUAAAGAAAUUGGAAGACAAAAAAUACCUUUGAACUUUCAUGUCUCUCUUCAAUGUCAGCCCUGCAUUAGCUUCUUUGGGAUUCUAGGGCUUCAGCUUUGAGUUUCACUAAUAGCUACAGAGGAGGAACAGUACAUGCUGGAGAAGAUGAGGGUUUUAAAAUAACAAUGACCCUUUUGCCCUUGCUUUAUGGGAACGAAGACAAUUUUGCCCUCAGUCACGUGGAGAGUACAUGUCUUUCUGUCCAAAAAAAAUAAUGUCGUAUUUAAAAAAAUACACAUUUUAUGCAAUUAUAAAGAAUUAAGGGUACAUUAUUCGAUUUUGUACUUAAGGGGGCAAUGUGUAAAAUAUGCUUUAAAUUGAGGGGUAAAGUGUAAUUAACUUUAAAUAUAUAGAAAAAAUAUUUUUUUGAAAAACAUUAUUUGGGUAAAUUUUGAAUUAUGCAAUCGAUUAUUUUCUCUUGAAUAACCUCAUGAAUCCGAACUCAAUCUAAUUUUUUUUUAUCCUACUUUAGAUAUAUAUAACUCAUUUGUCUUGUCUCGGUCACUUCGUCCCAAUCACAUUCAUAAAUUUUCUCGGGAAACUUGUGUUUGAGGCUGGUAAUAUUAAAAUAGUAUGAGAUUGGAAACCCAACUUUUGAUUUUUUAAUAUAAUUAUUCUAAUCCUAAAAAUAAUAUAGGGUUCAUGCACUUUUAGCUGAACUAUUUUUUAAUAUCCAAUAUGCCCUCUUCUUUCUGCCAGGUCAACCUCCACAUGUGAAAAAAAAAAGAGGUCUUCUUCCAUCUCCAGCAUCACCUGUGAAAAAAAAAGGGUCUUAUUCCAUCUCCAGUAUCACCUCCACUAGAUGACCAUAACUCCUCCCAAACUUCUUCACCUCCAUUUGCAGACUGUCCACUAUCGGGUCAACUUGUUUCAUCUCAAUCAUCGCCGCGGCUCAUCACCAGCGACGACCGAGGGAACCUCGACUCUAUGUACCGCAUCAACAUCUCCCCCGAUCCCGAAACUGUGUCAGAGCCACACUGCAGAACCAACAUAUCGGGUUUGAGAAUCGGCGUCUCGGCCGACACCAUACAGAUGGAUACGCAUUUGUGGUGUAGGGCGAACCGGAUGUAGGAGGUGAGAGGAACCGCUGGAGAUAAACGACACCAAAAUUCCUUUCCCAUCUUCCACUCCCUGGUUGUAGGUCUCAUCAUAGGAAACAAACGGCUGAGACUUAGUAAAUUGGGAGAGGAAGCAUGCUAGUUGUAGGUGUGAGAAGUUGCGGGAGAGUCAUGGACGAAGGUGGGGGGAGAGAGAGAGAGAGAGACUUGAAGAGGUUAGGUUUUCUUUUUGGGAUUUGGGUUUCAAAAGGGAGCAGAGCAGAUGGAAAAUUUUAGGCAAAACGUUUUAUGUUUUCUCGGUUUUUUGAUUUUUUGGUUUUUUUUUUAAAAAAAAAAUAAGUGGAGGUUGACGUGGUAGAGAAGAGAGGCAUAUUAGGUAUUAAAAAUCAGCUCAGCCCAAAGGGCAUGGAACCCAAAAUAUUUUGGGUUCAAUAUUGAAAAAUUAAAAAUGGUAAAAAUGAGUUUUGGUUUUCAUAAUAUUUAGAUAUCACCAUCCCAAAACCUAACUUUUCCAAUUUUCUCUUUCGUGCUUGCCGUGAAAGUCACUUGCUCCGCAAUUUACGCAAAGACUCUAUUACCAUUGACUUUAUUACAAUUUCUACAAGAAAAAUCGAACUUCAAGACUAAGCAAAUAUCCUAGGAAUCAAGCUGGAAGCUACAAUGCUGUUUCAGGGAAGCAUAUGAUAUACAAAUACAACCCUUAUAUGUUACAGCUUCGGUACUGACCAGGAGACUGUAAGUACUGGCCAUGGAUGCAGAAGAAGAAAGGCUAAGUAAAACCCAUAUCCAUGGCCAAUUGGUAGAGAUAAACCACAAUCAGGAGAAACGAAUACGCCACGAAGAAACAAAGGCGCAGAAUCUGACAACUGGGUUUGCGGUCGUCCAAGCUUUAAUUCUCAACACAGGGGUGAUCAAUAAGCCAUCUAACAGAUGCGAACACUGGUGGGUGCCAUUCUCUCUCUCCUUAUCAGUCGGUGUGAUUUAUUUCAUCACCAUUUUUGAGGUGUUGAGGAAAUGGUACCUUCUGCUCUACCAUUUGGACGUCAACUACCUGGAGCAAGAACUUAUUCUACUGGAAAUGCAUGGGGGUGCUCCGUCCUGGCGAAAUGAUCAGCCAUUGAAGCCAGAUGUGGUGAAGCUCCUGAGGCGUAAAGCUUAUAUCACGAUACUGAUUUCUGCUAUGCUCGCCUUUCAAGCUCUGAUGCUCCACGCCUGCAGAUCCUUUCUUUGCAGCUGAAAGUAACCAUCUUCCCCUUUAAAUAAAUACUAGAAUAAAAAAAAAUUGUUGUUUAUUAUGCCAAAUUUCUCGAUGCCUUUGAAGAGUGUCAUGGGAAAUGCUAUUAAGAUGCAAACUACAUAAUUCAAAAUGCAUUAUAUGGAACGAAAUUAUUUACCAUGAAAUUUAUUUAUAUUGUUUUUCUUUCUAAAGUAUUCAAAAUGCAUGAUAUGCAAUAGAAAAUUUUGAGGGAAAAUAUCACAGAAAGAAAAUAGAGAGAAAAAAUAGAAUAAAAAAAUAUGAAAAAAAAAUAAAAAAAUAUAUUUAAAGUCAAUAAAUUAUUUUUAUAUCUUAUUUUAAACUUAUUUUACUUAUUUUAACUCAUCAAUAUAAAGGUUAAAUAAUUUUAAAAUAUAUAAAAUUUUAAUUAAUUUAAAUUAUAUUUGAUUUUAUUUGACAUUUUUCAUGAUACAAUCAUGAGAAACUCGUUUUCUUAAACAUUUUUCUUUUCUUUUUUCAGUAGUUUUUGGCAACCAAACAUUACCUAAAAUUUUGUUAGUGCAUCUCCUUAGGUGUUUGUGCUCACAUAUUGGGCCCAAGAAUGGGUUCCUGCAACUACCAUCAAUGGGCCGGGCUGCCCAAUCAAUAACAAAAGGGCACUCACCUGGGUCUCAUGGGCCGAGAAAAAUGGAGCCCAUACACAACAGUUUUGAACCCAAACAUAAAUUUCAAGUUCAUAUAUACUUUUAAUCUCGUUUAUUCAUUCAUAUUAGAAAUCUAGAUUUAUAUUAAUUCAUUCAUGUAGAUCUAUAUAUUAGGAAUCAAAUUAGAGUGCAUAGAAACCAAAAUUAAGAGAGAGGAUUAUACCCAGGGAAGUUUUGUGUGAUACGUUGAACUGAAAGUGAUAAAAACUAAGACUAUGUUUAAUUCCCAAAAAGCAAUAAGGAAAGAAAAAAAAAUAUGAAGGAAAAUUAUUUUCUUGUAUUUUAUUUUUUUAUGAAAAACUUGAAAGGAAAUAAAAUAUAAUUAAAAAUUUAUUAUAUAUUUUUAAAUUAUUAAUUUCCAUAUAAAAGGGGAACAAAAUGUCAAUGAAUUUGAAAUAACAAAUAAAAAUGAUUUAUAAGUUUUAAAUCCAUUUUUUUUAUUUUCCUUAAUAUUUUCCUUCUUCUACUUUUUCUUUCUAUUUUCUUUUUCUCACAUUUUCUCUUAGAUUUUCUAAGAACCAAACAUAAUAUAAAAAAACAAAUAAUAUAUAAAAAAACCCAAAUAAUUUGACAUGUGGUAUAUUGUUGCUAGUCAAAGUAAUGGUUGUGGGUGACUUUUAGAAGCCUCCAAUAAGAAAUGGCCAAAAAACCUAUGAGCUUGGCAUUUAUUUGAGUAUCUCGGGGACAAUAUUUUAUUUUUAAUUAUGUGUUUUAAUUCAUUGUUUUUUUUUCUUUAAUAUUAUUUUAGAAAUAUGUUUAGAGAUAUGUUAAUUUUAGUGCUUAUAGUAAUAUAAAGAUUUUGAUAAUUAAAAAUUUGUUUAAAAAUGAUUUUAGGAAGCAUUUAACCUAUUUAAUCUUUAAAUUUUUUAUAAAAGAAUUGUUUUCAAGUGCUAAAAAGAUUAGAGACAUUUUAUAAAAUUACUAUUAAAUAAAUUCUAAAUAUAAUCGAGUCGUGUGACUAUAAAUUGCUAGACUUUUCCAUGUGAUUAAUCCUUGGAUACUUGGAAUUUGUUUAUGUGGGGUAGAGCUUUUGUGAGUUUGUUUGCAAUUUUCUCAUACUAGAAACAAAUGAAUGGUCAGAGAAAGGAACAUAGAAAAGAGAAGAUUGAAACACCUUCACCUGCUCCGAAGGUUCGUAUGAUCUUCAUGCCAGCCUCCAUGCCUCAUUUUCCCGCUUAUAAAAAAAAGGCCACAAAAGACUAGACUGAUCUGAUAAAGCAGGGCCGGAAAAGCGAGCUCGACACGAAGAAACGAAAGCCGGCCAAUGCAGUCCGAGAGAUCACACAGCGAACUGUUCGAGUCUGGGCUUUUGUUUCUUCGUGUCGGUCUUGCUUCUGUCUCCGGCCGGAGGAACAAAAUUGUACAGACAUGGAUGGGAAGAACUCCUGUAAUAUCAAGAGUCCUUCUAUCUUUGGAUUGUUAUAAUAAUAUUAUCUUCAAAACAAAAUUUAUGCAAGUGGGGGUAUAUUUUUUAUUUUUUGUUUUUGAAAAUAGGAAGUUUUAUACAAAAUAUAAAAAAAUCUUAUAUGAAAGAUAGGUAUAAUCUUGUUAUGUUAUUUGAAAACAUUUUUUAAAAUUGACAGAAGUAAAAAAAUUUCAAUUCCAUAAAUUUUUAAAUUUUGAAAAAGUCUUUAAGAAGGGUAGGUAAGAGGAUGCUUGUUAAUGGUUAGAAAAUAGUUUUAUAUGUUUUAGAACAAAAGAAUAAUAAAAAAAAACAUGCUUAGUGAUUAGAAAACAGUUUAUACUCUUAAAAAACAAAAAAUCGGAGUGUUUUUAGAUAAUAUCUUUUAAUUUUUAAAAUUAUUUUUAUUUAUUGAAAAAUAAUCAUACAAAAUGCAGAAUGAUUAUGAGUAAAGUAUUACAUGUGAAACUUAUUUUUAAAAAAUAUUUAAAAACAUAAAAAAAAAAGUUAAUAACAGUUCAAGUUUCCAAACAAACUAUUAUUUUACAAAAUAUUAAAUAACAAUUUUAAAAAAUAGUUUUAAAAAAUACUUUUCGAACACAAUUUAAAUUUUUUUCUUUUUGCAUAAAAAUUCUUAUAUUUUGUAUAAGAGUUUUUAUUUUUAAAAAUAAAAAAAUAAGAAAUAUAUUCAAAGAUAUUUAAUAAACAAUAAAAUUCAAAAGAGAAAGCCUUAAAUUUUAUGUUAUUAUUGUAAAAUGAGAAUAAAUGUGACUCAAAUAAUAGUAGGGAUGACUAUGUAUUAUUUUAAUAAUAUAUAUAUAGAGGGGCGGGGGGAAGAAAUCAAAGAAAAGUGUUGAGAGAAUGAAAGAAAGAGAGAGAGAAUGAGAGGAAGAAAAUUUCUUCUUUUUCUCGGAAUGCUCUUACAUGGGGUGUAAGAACCCUUUUAUAGGAUUCAUAAGAUGAACUCCCAUUACUCAUCUUAAAGAUGAGUAAAUGGAGUUCAUAAAUGACCAUCAAUGUGGUCAUUCAUCACUUCAUUUACAACAUUUCCCCUUGGAUGACCACCAUAUUAAAAGAAUAUGUUUCAUUAAAACCUUGUUAGUAAAAAUUUUUAUAGGAAAAACCUAGUGAAGGAAAAAGAGUACAAUAUUCUUUUCUUGGUAUAUUAGGACUACCUCGUUAAAAACCUUGCCAGUAAAACCCAGUAGGACAAAACCUGGACGAAGGAAAAAAGAGUACAGUACACUAACACCCUUUUACAAGCAUACUCCCCCUCAUGUCAAUAUCCUUGAGUUGACGCAUUCCAAUCAUGUAUAUUAAUUUCUUGAAUGUUGAGGUUGACAAUGAUUUUGUGAAUAAAUCUGUUAGAUUAUCACUUGAGCGUAUUUGUUGCACAUCAUUUUCACCACUCUUCUAGAGUUCAUGUGUAUAAAAGAAUUUUGGUGAAAUGUGUUUAGUUCUAUCUCUUUUAAUAUAACCCCCUGUUAUUUGUGUAAUGCAUGUAGCAUUAUCUUCAAAUAAUAUUGUCGGGUCACCUUUGAUAGAGGAGAGUCCACAUGAUUCCCGAAUAUGUUGGAUCAUAGAUCUUAGCCUUAUACAUUCAUGACUUGCUUCAUGAAUUGCUAGUAUUUCUGAAUGAUUUGAUGAUGUGGCCACCAUUGUUUGUUUGACAUAUCUCCAUGAAAUAGCAGUACCAUUGCAAUUAAACACAUACCCUGUUUGUGACCUACCUUUAUGUGGAUCUGAAAGAUAUCCUGCAUCUGCAUAUCCAAGCAAUUGUUGCUUUGAUUCCGUUGAGUAAAAUAAACCCAUAUCAGUAGUUCCGCAAAGAUAACAUAAUAUAUGUUUGAUACCAUUCCAAUGUCUUCGAGUUGGAGUGGAAUUGUAUCUUGCUAAUAAAUUGACAGAAAAAGCAAUGUCUGGAUGUGUACAAUUGGCAAGAUACAUAAGUGCACCAAUAGCACUAAGAUAUGGUAUUUCAGGACCAAGUAACUCUUUUUUUUUUUUUCGCAAGGACGAAAUGAGUCAUUUUUCACAUCAAGUGAUUGGACAACCAUUGAAGAACUUAAAGGAUGCGCUUUAUCCAUAUAAAAACGCUUCAAAACUUUGUUAACGUAUGUUGAUUGAUGUACUAAAACUCCAUUUGGAAAAUGCUCGAUCUGCAGGCCGAGAUAAAAUUUUGUUUUUCCAAGAUCUUUCAUCUCAAAUUCCUUUUUCAAGUAAUUUGUUGUUCUUGUGAGCUCUUAAGAAGUUCCAACAAGAUUUAAGUCAUCGACAUACACUGUAAUAAUUGCAAAUCCGGUUUCUGAUUUCUUAAUGAAGAUGCAUGGGCAUGUAGGGUUAUUCACGUAUCCUUCUUUUAGCAAAUAUUCGCUAAGACGAUUGUACCAUAUGCGUCCAGAUUGCUUUAAUCCAUACAAUGAUCGUUGUAACUUGAUUGAGUACAUGCUACGAGACUUUAUACUAUUUUCUCCAGGCAAUUUAAAUCCUUUAGGGAUUUUCAUGUAUAUAUCAUUAUUCAUGGAUUCGUAUAAAUAUGUUGUAAUAACAUCCAUGAGAUGCAUAUCCAAUCCUUCUGAGACUACCAAAUUGAUUAAGAAACAAAAUGUGAUUGCAUCCAUGACGAGAUAAUAUGUUUCUUCGUAGUCAAUACCAGGUCUUUGCGAGAAACCUUGUGCUACUAAUCGCGCUUUAUAUCUUAUGAUCUCAUUAUUCUCAUUGCGCUUUCGUACAAAUACCCAUUUGUACCCAACAGGCUUUACAUCUUCAGGUGUUUAGACUACAGGUCCAAAAACUUCUUGUUUUGUUAAUGAGUUUAACUCUGCUUGUAUAGCUUCAUUCAGUUUUAGCCAAUCAUUUCUAUGUCAACAUUCUUCCACAUUUCGUAGUUCGGGAUUUUCAUCAUUUCUUUUGACUUUAGAGGCCACUUGGAAAGCAAAAAUAUUGUUAAUAACAAUAUUAUUUAAAUCCAUUUUUUCUCCCGUGUGUACAUAACUUACUGAGAUAUCACAAUUUUUAGGUACCUGUGCCUCUUCAAGGGCUUCUCGUUCAAUAUGUGCCUCUUCAAAGGCUUUUUGCAUUAUUUAUGCCUCUUCUAGGGCUAUAGAUUUAUCAAUUUUAAAUUGAUCAGUCAUUUUGAUGGCCUCUUCUAGAGUGCCAAGUUUUUCUUCGGUUCUCAUUUUCUAGGAAGUUACAUCAUUUGAGCCGACAAGUUUACCACGCUUCAGGCAUAUCUUAAAUUCAUUUGUUAACUGUCCUAUAGGGACAUCAAUCCGUGCUGGAGUAUUUGUAGUCGGGAUAUGUUACUUUGUCACUUUCUUUGUAUUAAUGAAUGCAUCUGGUAAUUGAUUUGCAAGAUUUUGCAAAUGAAUGAUCCUUUGGAAGAUGGGUCAUAGUAGAUGCCUUCCAACUAAUUUCUCAUGGUUCUUCAGGAAUCGACUUUUCUCCCCUUAAUGAUGGGAAAACACUCUCAUUAAAAUGACAAUCCGCAAAGCGGGCAGUAAAAACAUCACCUGUCAAAGGUUCAAGAUAUCUUAUGAUAGACGGAGAAUCAAAACCUACAUAAAUCCUAAGUCUUCGUUGGAAAUCCAUUUUAGUGCGUUGUGUAGGUGCAAUUGGUACAUAUACUGCACAACCAAAGAUUUGUAAGUGAGAGAUAUUUGGUUGUUUUCCAAGCACAAGUUGUGAAGGGGAAUAUUCAUGGUAAGUUGUAGGUUGAAUAUGGACUAAAGCUACAACAUGCAUAAUAACAUGUCCCUAGGUAGAAGUAGGUAAUUUGGUUUUCAUUAGUAAUGGUCGAGCUAUUAAUUGGAGACGUUUGAUGAAGGAUUCUGCUAAGCCAUUUUGGGUAUGAGUAUGAGCAACAAGAUGCUCAAUAUUUAUCCCUACUGACAUGCAAUAGUCAAUGAAUGUUUGAGAAGUAAAUUCUCCAGCAUUAUUAAGACGUAUUGUCUUAAUUGGAUAAUAUGAAAAUUGUGCUCGUAAUAUGAUUAUUUGUGCAAGGAGUCUAGCAAAGGCAACGUUACGUGUAGAAAGGAGACAAACAUGUGACCACCUAGUAGAAACAUCUAUUAAGAUCAUAAAAUAACGGAAUGGUCCACAUGGUGGAUGGAUAGGCCCACAUAUGUCCCUAUGUAUUUUUUCUAAAAAGACUGGUGACUCAGAUAUAACUUUAGUAAAAGAUGGUCUGAUUAUCAAUUUACCUUAUGAGCAGGCAACACAUGAGUAUUCAUUGGGUGAAAGAAUCUUCUAGUUCUAUAGUGGAUGUCAAUGUGAGUGUUCGAUUAUUCGACACAUCAUUGCAGACCCUGGGUGACCUAGCCUGUCAUGCUAAAGUACAAAAACUUUUGGGUCGUUGAACUUCUGGUUCACGACAACAUAUGAUUCAAUAGGCUUUAUAGUUGUAUGAUACAACCCAGAGGAGAAAGUCGGGAGUUUUUCCAUUAUAAGCUUCUGACCAGAUAUAAUGGAAGUAAUGUAAAGAUGUUCUAUAUUAUCUUCAUUCAUAGUUUCAAUAUGAUAUCCAUUUCUGCGGAUAUCUUUAAAACUAAGCAAAUUUAUUCUGGAUUUGCUAGAAUAUAAAGCAUCAUUUAUAUGAAAUCUAGUUCCAUUUGGCAACGUUAUGUUUGCUCUUCUAGAACCUUCAACUAAGUUUGUAGUACUAGAUAUGGUACUUACAUUAGCUUUUAUUAAUGUCAAUUCAAGGAAAUAUCUUUUAUCUCGAAGAAUUGUGUGCUUGGUCGCACAGUCUACGAGACACACAUCAUCCUCAUUCAUCUUGAGACCAAAUAACACAUGGAUUUCAGAUAUAACAAAAUAAAACAAGGCAUAAUGUAAAUAACAAAGUAAAUCAGAUGUAAAUAUAAGACAUAAUAAUAUAUUAUUUCAUAUAUAAAGUAACAUCAAUUAAUGUUAAUUUUCUCAUCAUUUAUCAAAUGGUCUAUUUUUUCAUUGGGACCUUCAAAGAAAUCAAUGUCAUAGUAGGUUAGGUCCAAUCCAUCACCAUCAGUAAAGUUCAUCUUUAUCUCUUUUCCUUUUGCUUUUAUUGAUGCUUGGUAAAGGUCGACUAAAUGUUUGGGCGUACGACAGGUAUGCGACCAAUGCCCCUUCAUACCACAUCUAUAACAAUUAUUCUCGUGGUUCUUAGGAGGUUUAUCUUGUAAAUGCUUCCCAUUUUCUUGUAUUGUCUCAGUAUUGUUCCAUUUCUGGUGGUGCAACGAGGCUUUCAUUUUCUGAGAAUUAUUACUAUAAGAACCAUGGUAUCGGGGAUUUUUUCCACGAUCAUGACCACGUCCAUGAAUUUGGACGAUAUUGCAUUCACUUUAAGGAAUGGUUCAGAUCCAGUUGGACGAGAUUGAUGAUUUCUCAUUAAAAGCUCAUUAUUUUGUUUAGUAACAAGAAGACAUGAUAUUAAUUCAGAAUAUUUUGUAAAUCUACACUUUCUAUAUUGCUGUUGCAGGAGCACAUUCGAGGCAUGAAACGUAGUAAAAGUUUUCUCUAACAUGUCUUCUUCUAUGAUUUUUUCUCCAUGUAGCUUUAAUUGAGAGCUGAUUUUGAAAAGUGCGGAGUUGUAUUCACUAAUAGUUUUAAAAUCUUGCGACCUUAGGUGCAUCCAAUCAUAUCAAGCUUUUGGGAGAAUCACAGUUUUCUGGUGGUCAUAUCUUUCCUUCAAAUUACUCCAUAGAGUAAAAAAGUCCUUUACCGUAAAAUACUCAUUUUUUAAACCUUCAUGGAGGUGAUGACGAAGGAAAAUCAAUGCUUUUGCGCGAUCCUGCAGGGAUGCUUGAUUUCCUUCUUUGAUUGUAGCUCCAAGGUUUAUUGCAUCAAGAUGUAAUUCAACAUCAAGGAUCCAAGAUAGAUAAUUCUUUCCCGAAAUGUCAAGUGCCACAAAUUUGAGUUUUGUGAUAUUCGACAUUGUCAAAUAACUUCAUAUAUAUGACAAAACAAUAUUAUUAGAAUCAAUUAUAAUAACUUAAUAGCAUUGGUAUAACUUUGAUUAUAAACAAAAUCAAAUAAUUUGUUUAUAAUUUUUAACAAUAUGUAACAAAACAAAUCAACAAUAAUAUAAAUAUGUAAAAUUUUAUCCUAUAUAAAUAACUUCAAGUUUAAGAUACGAGAAUUACCUUCAGAACAAUUCGUGCUAAUAAUGUGUUGUAAAAAGAGAAUAAAUGUGACUCAGAUAAUAGUAGGGAUGACUAUGUAUUACUUUAAUAAUAUAUAUAUAUAUAUAAAGGGGGAGGGGGGGAAGAAAUCAAAGAGAAGUGUUGAGAGAAUGAAAGAAAGAGAGAGAGAGAGAGAAUGAGAGGAAGAGAAUUUUUUUUUUCUCGAGAUGCUCUUACAUGGGGUGUAAGAAGCCUUUUAUAGGCUUUAUAAUAUAAACUCCCAUUACUCAUUUUAAAGAUGAGUAAAUGGAGUUCAUAAAUGACCAUCAAUGUGGUCAUUCAUCACUUCAUUUACAACAGUUAUUAAUUUGUUGUAUUACUUAGAGGGGGUGAAUGAAUUGAAAGCACUAUGGAGGUAAGCUUUUUAGUUUUUUCACCUUAUCCUCUUUAUACAUAAUGUCUCCAUCAAUGAUGUUCAGUAUAUUCCUUAUUUUUGUUUUACUUAAGUGUUCUUGUAUUGUAGCCCUCUCAAGACUCUUCCUCUUCACUCCAAACAAGUUAAUUGUCUUCAUAUCAAAGUAACAUAAGUUGAUUUUCUUAUAGGGCUAAUGCUACUUAUGUGAUUAUUUUCUUUACAAAAGUUGCAAAUAAUAUUUGAGGAUUCCUUGACAAAAUAAUUUUUAAAUUUUUAUUUUUUUAUUUUUUUUAUUUUUAUAGAGCUUGUAUCCUAAUCCCUUUAUUGCAAAGAUUAUUUUUUUACUUGCCAAAAUUAUCAAAAUUCUUGUCCCCAUUUGAGAAUUUUGAAAGAGAAGAGAUUAACUAAUGAAUUUUCUUUUCAAGUAAGUAUAUAUUUUAUUCCAAGGAAAACCUUAGCCUUUUUUAGAUAUUUUAAACUCCCCUUUUAAGUCAUUAAUUUCAACUUGAAGAGAGAUGAUUUUCUUUUUAAGAUAAGCCUGAAAGUUAUUUGAUCUAGUUUAGGUAACACCUAGAGGAGUUGAAUGGUGUUUAAACUUUUCUGCUCAAAAAUGAAUUAUUUUAUAUUCAUAUAACAAACAUUUUUUCAAUUUAGGAAAGCCUAAAAACACUCAAUACAAAAACAUAAGAUUUUUAUAUGGAAAACCACCCAUAUCAUGUGCGGAUGUAAAAACGACAAGGUCAGACUUUUAAUCAUUAAUAAACUAUUUGAAAGUAUUAUACAUGGUUUUAGUUGGUGGAAGCUAUCGUUAAGUCUUACUACCCAACACCUACAAUGCACUUCACAUUUGCGAUAUAGCACUACGUGUGCUCUUAGUGGAUCUAACCUCAGUGUUUGAGAGGAUGUAGAUCUCCUUUUCAAUCCAACAUAAGCGAAAACAACAUUCCUUGAGAGUUUUAGGAAUAAGAUGACGAAUUUGGUUUUUCAAAAAAUUUGCAUCAAACCAAAAACCUUUUUAGGUAAAACAUUUAUAGGCAUAAGAAGCUGGCAGACUGGAUCUAAAAUUUUCCAAAAUAAGACCUUAAAAAAAAUUAGAAAAUCAAAGUUCCAAAAAUUUUGGAGAAUUCUAUCAUGGGUGUUUGAGUGCUCAUGGGAGCACUUGAGUGCUUAAGGAGAUUUUUUAAACUUUUUAAAAAUUCUUUUAGCUUGGUUUUAAAACCAUUAGUUCGCACCAUGCCUUAACAAACACCAAUUUGUCAUUCUUGAACCUUUUGAUUUUUACUUGUGCCAUCCUGAUUGAUCACAUAACAACUUUGAGUCUUCAAUGAAGAGUAAAACACAAUUUAGAAAGAUUCUAAACUAGAAUGAAAGGAAUUAUAUAGCCUAAUAUACCAACAAUCUUCUCCUAUGAUAAUUUUAUGAAAAAAAAUACAAAUUACAUAAACCCCCUAAUACUCUUCAAUGGAGUUUAAGAAUCUCUCAAUAACUCUCGUCUAAACCAAAUCAUUCUUGAACAUGCAGAUGAUGAUAAAUCACAUCUAAAAGUGGGCAAUACCCCACUACUUGUGACCUGCACACACAAACCAACCAAGUACUCAAGUAAAACAAUGUGUGAGAGAAAACACAACUCAUAAAUUCUAUCAAAUCAAGGUAAGAGUAGAUGGAUGUGAGUCAUGCAUACAAUGGAUAUCUAAUCAAUAGUAUCAAUAAAUUGUCUCCCCAUUUUUGUCGCAAAAAUGACAAAGAAGGAAUAAACAAUGAAUGCACAUAAGAGAAAGAGAAACAAUUAAGCAAAAGAACUUCAACUUAUUUUUAGAAUGCUUCUUUCUUGGUAAGAUCUCUUAAGAAACCCUUCUUGAAAAUAGUUUUUUUUUUUUUGUUUUGUUUUUUAUGAUGGAAAAUUGUUUUCUACCUUAAAAACUAUAUUUGGUAAAAUUUCACUAAAAUAAUUUUUUGAAAAUAGGUUUUUUUUUUGGAACAAACGCUUUUAAAUAUAUAUAUAUAUAUAUAUAUAUAUAUAUAUAUAUAUAUAUAUAUAUAUAUAUAUAUAUAUAUAUAUAUAUAUAUAUAUAUAUAUAUAUAUAUAUAUUGUAGAAUAUUUCAAGAAAUAGUUGAAAAUAUGAAAAAUGUUUCAAGAACCUUUGUAUCUUAGAUUUGUGCACUUCAGUUUCAUGAAUAAUAUUAAACUAAGAAAACUGUUAUUUAUAUAUUAAUUUCUAAAUAAAAUUUUGUUGCUGGAAAUAAUUAAAAUUUAUUUUAAAAAACUAUUUUCAAGAAUUAUUUUUGAAAACGUUGCUAAAAAGACAAAAGUCCUUGGUCAUUUUUUUUUCUUUUAUAUUUUUAUCUUUAUCUAAGAGGCCGGUCUUUUUUUUUUUUUAAUGUUCCAUAAUCCUUGUGAAAUUGUAACGUGUAAUUCAUUUAUUUGACUUCAAAAGUUAAGAAAUAAUGAACCUUUCAUUAUUGUAGUUUGUCUUGUAGUAAGAGACUUAAAAAUCCACGUACAAGAUGUCUUUCUUUCUUAAGUCAAGUCAACAAAAUGGAGGUGGAAGAAAUAAUGAACUUUCAUUAUUGUAGUUUGUCUUGCUAAAAGCUAUGUAUAACGGGUCUUCGUAAGUCAAAUCAAUAAUCAAAUUAAAAGAAAUAAUAAACUUCCAUUAUUCUAUUUUAGAGACUUAAAAAGCCAUAUAUAACGGGUCUUCUUUUCUUAAGUCAAGUCAAUAAAAUAAAAGUAGAAGAAAUAAUGAACUUUCAUUAUUGUAGUUUGUCUUGCUAAAAGCCAUGUAUAACGGGUCUUCGUAAGUCAAAUCAAUAAAUCAAAUUAAAAGAAAUAAUAAACUUUCAUUAUUGUAUUUUAUCUUGUAGCGAGAGACUUAAAAAGCCAUGUAUAACGGGUCAUCUUUUCUUAAGUCAAGUUAAUAAAUCAAAUUAAAAGAAAUAAUAAACUUUUAUUAUUGUAUUUUAUAUUGUAGCAAGAAACUUAAAAAGCCAUGUAUAAUGGGUCUUCUUUUCUUAAGUCAAGUCAAUAAAUCAAAUUAAAAGAAAUAAUAAACUUUUAUUAUUGUAUUUUAUCUUGUAGCGAGAGACUUAAAAAGCCAUAUAUAACGGGUCAUCUUUUCUUAAGUCAAGUCAAUAAAUCAAAUUAAAAGAAAUAAUAAACUUUUAUUAUUAUAUUUUAUAUUGUAGCAAGAGACUUAAAAAACCAUGUAUAAUGGGUCAUCUUUUCUUAAGUCAAGUCAAUAAAUCAAAUUAAAAGAAAUAAUAAAUUUUUAUUAUUGUAUUUUAUAUUGUAGCAAGAGACUUAAAAAGUCAUGUAUAAUGGGUCUUCUUUUCUUAAGUCAAGUCAAUAAAUCAAAUUAAAAGAAAUAAUGAACUUUUAUUAUUGUAUUUUAUAUUGUAGCAAGAGACUUAAAAAACCAUAUAUAACGGGUCUUCUUUUCUUAAGUCAAGUCAAUAAAUCGAAUUGGAAGUUUUUCCUUUUUUUUUUUUUUUAAACCAACUUCUACUAUUACUUUUAUUAGUUAUUUUGAUCAUUUGAUUAAAUAUUGAAUUAUUAUUAUUUUUUUAAAAUUUUCAAGUACAAACCAUUUCAUGUUAAAAAAUUUAAAGUGGAUCUAACUUUCUUUACAAGUUAAGAUAUCUUGAUUAAAGGAUAAAUAAUGGAUUGUAAUAUUUCAACUUUAAUUAAGUUAAUUUAUCAAUAUUCAAACUAAGUUGGAGAAAAAAAAAAGACAACACCUCAAUUUUAGUUUUCCAUUACACAUGGUUAUUUCUUUUUCUUCUUUUUCUUUUGCUUAUUUGACACACAAUGGCAGCUCUAGUCAUCAUACCUUUCAAGACUCUAAACUCACACAAAUUUUCAAUCUUUUCAUCAUAUCUUUUAAAAUUCUUGUCACUCAUAAAGUAUUUAAGACUUAAUUUUAAUAAAUUCAUAUUUUUAUAACUAUAACUAAGAGCUUUGACCUAUUAAAAAAUGAAUCAAAAAUCGUUUGCAAGACAUUAAAAUUUCAUAAUUAUUUCUUUUACCUUAAAUGUAGUUGUUAUGUGUUUGCUAGUUCACAUAUUUGCAAUAUACCCUAGGAUGGUUGAGCUAUGUAACAUGCUUCUCGGAAUCAAUUCAUUCGGUUUUUUUUUUUUCCUUUUCCCUUUUGGUUCUACUCAUUUUAAUGUAAAGAAGAACCAAAACAUAUUCACUAGUUGAUUUUACCCUUGGUUGCACAACUAACCAUAUGGAGUCUAGACUUGAAAAUUUUAUGCAUUUUGGGUCUAACAAGUUAUGAUACUUAGACCUAGCAUUACAUGUGAAAGAAAACAAAAAAGUAAUAAUAAAAAUAUAAUUCUCAUUGGAAAAUUAAAAUUGUUAUGAAAUAUUUUAUUUUCUCAUAUGUUGUUUAGAUAUUGAUGGAUUGACUUGUUAAUUAAAGUUGAAAUAUUCUAAUAUUUUUCUGUCAUCAAGGUGUCUUAUGUGGUGACUCAAAAAUAGUAUUAAUAAAUGAUAAAAGAGAUUGUUGCUAAUCUUCAAAAUUAUAAAAAGUUUAUACACUUUGCUAGUCUUCAAAAUUAUAAAGCGUUUAUACUUUAAAAAAACAAAAUAAAUAAACAUUAGUCUAUAUUGAAUGUGUUAAUAUGAAGUACAUUGUAGCUAUAAUUUUUUAAAGGAUUAAAGAAAAAAACCAUUCAAUAUUUUGCUAGGUAUAAAAAAUCUUAUUUAUUACAAAUUAUUUUGUAGAUGAUGAAUCAUUGAUGAAGAUAGGCUAAGGAAUUUAUAAAAGGUAAAAAGUAAUUAUUCAUAUAAAUGAAAAGUGAAGGUUAUAUUUGUUAAGUAUCUUUAAAAGGGGAUUUCAAAACAUUACUUUCUCUAAUAAUAAUAAUGUAAACUCAAAAUAUAUGUAAAUGAAAAUAAAAAAUAGUAUUUUUAUAAACUUAAAAAUAAUAUAUUUGUUUUUUUAAAUAUUUUUAGUCAUAAUUAAAGGUCAUCAUAUCUGUCAAAAAUUUAUCUUUAUAUUAUUUAUUUUAAAAAUGAUUAUUCAUUAAGAAUCAUUUUGAUAAAAGGUAAAAAAUAAUUACCAUAUAAAUUAAAAGUGGAGGUUAUAUUUGUUAAUUAUUUAUAAAAGGGGAUUUCAAAACAUUACCUUCUCCAAAAAUAACAAUAAUAAUAAUAUAAACACAAUAUUGACUCAAAAUAUUAUGUAAAUGAAAAACUUAAAAAUAAUAUAUAUUUGUUUUUUUUUUUUUAAUAUUUUUAGUCAUAAUUAAACUUCAUCUACUCAUCACGUUUGUGGGAAUGGUAUAUAAGUCAAUGCCUGCUUUGCUCAGAAAUCAAAAACCAAAACUUGUUAAUCCUUGUUAUUACACACUAUCCUUGCUCUGUGUUGAACAUGGGUACAAGCCCCUUUCGAUAUUUUAUUUCCUUUUUUCUGCUUAUGCUAUGUUUUGAAGCCUGUUUGAGGGUGGGUGAUGCUAAAGUUGGGUGCAGAGAGAGGGAAAGGCAAGCACUCCUUCACUUCAAACAAGGUGUUGUGGAUGAUUUUGGAAUGCUUUCUUCUUGGGGGAAUGGGGAAGACAAAAGAGAUUGUUGCAAAUGGAGAGGAGUCGAGUGUGACAACCAGACGGGUCAUGUGAUCGUGCUUGAUCCUCAUGCUCCGUUUGAUGGAUAUUUGGGAGGUAAGAUUGGUCCUUCAUUGGCAGAGUUGCAGCACUUGAAGCAUUUGAACCUCAGCUGGAAUGAUUUUGAAGGUAAUUAUAUACAUAUAUACCUUGUGAAAAUUCAUCAAUUUGUCUCAGCAGAAUAUAAUUCUCUAUUUUUCCAAUUUUACAGGAAUUCUUCCCACUCAACUCGGAAAUCUUUCCAACUUGCAAUCCCUUGAUCUCGGCCAUAGUUUUGGGUUUAUGACCUGUGGAAACCUUGAGUGGCUUUCUCACCUUCCUUUGUUAACACACCUUGACUUGAGUGGGGUUCAUCUUAGUAAAGCAAUCCAUUGGCCACAAGCAAUUAAUAAAAUGCCUUCCCUAACUGAGUUGUACUUGAGUUAUACUCAGCUUCCUCCGAUUAUUCCAACAAUAUCCAUUUCCCAUAUUAAUUCCUCCACUUCUCUUGCUGUGCUUGAUCUCUCCGUGAAUGGUCUCACUUCUUCAAUAUACCCAUGGUUGUUCAACUUCAGUAGCAGCCUUGUUCAUCUUGACCUCUCUAUGAAUGAUCUAAAUGGUUCAAUUCCGGAUGCUUUUGGAAACAUGACUACUCUGGCAUAUCUUGGUCUCUAUGGGAACGAGCUACGUGGUUCAAUUCCGGAUGCUUUUGGAAACAUGACUAGUCUGGCAUAUCUUUAUCUCUCUUCAAAUCAGCUUGAAGGUGAGAUUCCGAAAUCCUUGAGAGAUUUAUGUAAUUUACAGAUACUAUACUUGUCUCAGAACAAUCUCACUGGACUGUUGGAAAAAGAUUUUCUGGCCUGCUCUAAUAACACAUUAGAGGUUUUAGAUUUAUCUCAUAAUCAAUUCAAAGGGUCAUUUCCCUGGCUUUCAGGAUUUUCACAGUUGAGAGAAUUAUAUCUUGAAUUCAAUCACCUAAAUGGAACUUUACCUGAAAGUAUUGGACAACUGGCUCAACUUGAAGUGUUGUCCAUUCGUUCAAAUUCAUUGCGAGGCACUGUCUUGGCAAACUACCUUUUUGGUCUCUCCAACCUGUCUGUCUUAGACUUAUCUUUCAACUCCCUUACAUUCAACAUAAGCCCUGAGCAAGUUCCCCAGUUUCAAGCCUCUCGUAUAAUGUUGGCCUCUUGCAAAUUAGGACCACAUUUUCCUAAUUGGCUUCAAACUCAAAAAUAUUUGUUGGACCUUGAUAUCUCUGCUUCUGGAAUUUCUGAUGUCAUUCCCAGUUGGUUUUGGAAUUUAAAUUCAGGUUUAGCAUGGUUAAACAUUUCCAACAAUCACAUCUCAGGCACUUUGCCAAAUUUACAAGGAAUAUUUUAUUUGGGAAUGUGGGAUAUGAGUUCAAAUUGCUUGGAAGGUUCAAUACCACAAUUUCUUUUCAAUAAUGAAUGGUUGUAUCUCUCCAAGAACAUGUUUUCAGGCUCAAUUUCUUUAUCUUGCCGGAUUGCUAAUCUGUCUGGUUCGGGUUUGUCCCAUCUUGAUCUCUCAAAUAAUCGACUGUCAGGAGAACUACCCAAAUGUUGGGAGCAGUGGAAACAUCUAAUUGUUCUUAAUUUGGCAAAUAAUAAUUUUUCUGGGAAAAUUAAAAAUUCAAUUGGCUUGUUAUAUCGGAUUCAAACAUUGCAUUUACGCAACAAUAGUUUAACCGGAGCAUUGCCUUUGUCCUUAAAGAACUGCAAAGAUUUGUGUCUUGUAGAUUUUGGAAGAAAUAAAUUAUCAGGCAAAAUACCUGCAUGGAUGGGAAGAAGCCUAUCAAGUUUGAUUGUUCUCAACCUAAGAUCCAAUGAAUUUAAUGGAGGCAUACCUUUAAAUCUAUGUCAAUUGAAAAAUAUUCAAAUGUUGGACCUCUCAAACAACAAUCUAUCUGGUACUAUACCAAAAUGUCUCAACAAUUUAAGUGCCUUAACUCAAAAAGGGAGUUUGGUCAUUUCUUAUUAUGAAGGAGAGUUGAAUGGUUGGAAGCUCUCCUAUCUUGAUAAUACAUUGGUUCAAUGGAAAGGAAAAGAACUAGAGUACACUAAAACUCUUGGACUUGUGAAGAGCAUUGAUUUUUCGAAUAACAAGUUAAUAGGAGAAAUUCCGUCAGAAGUAACUGAUUUGGUAGAAUUGGUGUCAUUGAACUUAUCAAGAAACGAUUUGAUUGGACCAAUCCCUGCAACCAUUGGUCAAUUGAAAUUAUUAGAUUCUCUUGAUCUAUCUCAAAACCAGCUUAAUGGUAGAAUUCCAGAUAGUCUUUCUCAAAUAGCUGGUCUAAGUGUUUUAGACCUAUCAAAUAACACCUUGUCAGGUAAAAUUCCAUUAGGCACUCAAUUACAGAGCUUUAAUACCUCCACAUACGAGGGAAAUCCUGAACUUUGUGGGCUACCUCUUUUGAAAAAGUGUCCAAAAGAUGAACCUGGGGAAGCCUCCUUCAUUGGUUUUAGUAGUAAAACAGAGGAUAUUCAAGAUGAUGCAAAUAAUAUAUGGUUUUAUGGAAAUAUCGUUCUUGGAUUCAUCGUCGGAUUUUGGGGAGUUUGUGGCACUUUACUACUCAAUAGUUCAUGGAGAUAUGCCUAUUUCAAGUUCUUGAACAAGAUAAAAGACCGAGUGUAUGUGACAACAACAAUAAAUAUGAAUAGACUAUGGAGGAGCUUCCAAAUUUAAAUGGUAAGAUUUCUCAAAUUCUCUCCUUAGUCUUUUUAAUAAAUUAUAUUACCUUAGUAGCCUCUUUCUAUUAUUGCUCAAAUCCCUAUUCUAUUAAUUAACUUACCUUCCACAACUUAUGGAGAUAAAAUAAGAUUUUUCAAAUAAAAAUAUCAUAUUUUAUUUGAUUAGAUGUGAAAUUCAACUAUAACUAAGGAAGCCUUGAAUAUUUUGAUAUACCAAAUAUAACAACACCACAUUUUUAGUUCUCAUUGUACAUAUAGAUAAAUGUUAUGGCUUGAGAAUCAUAGUUGAAAAAUUAUAAUUAUCACUAUUUUUUUCUCAUCUUGCUUUUACUUACAGUUGUACCUUUUGCUGAAGUUCAGUCAACUUGCUUUAAGAAUAUUUGAGGUUUUAUUGUAAGAAGCAUACUACCAUACUUUCCUUUAUAUUAAUCAAGAAAAGUAAAUUUGCUUCUAUUGAAGACAUUUUUUUCAAAUUGAUGAAUAUUAUUUCAUUUGUUGUAUUGCAGAACUUCAAUUGGGUUGCAUCUCAAGGAUUAGUAGGUAAUAUAUGCUUGUGAGUAAUGAGUUUAUUUAGUAUUGGACAGCCUGAAUGUAAGAGCAUUUGUGUUUAUUGAACUCAUCAUCUUAUAAAUAACUUUGGCGUGUAUUAAGUUUGUUUAUUUGAUAAUAGGCGUGGCUUAAGUUUCUUAUGUUAUGCUCUAUUUAGAGCGAAUCAAAUAUAUUAGAGGAUGAUAUCAAGUCCUUUGUGGUGCAAUGCUAGAAACUACUUCGCUUUAAAAAAAACGUUUUCUUUUGCUCAAAAACCAGUAGCAACUAAAGCCAUAAUUUAAAAUGGGACAUGGUAAGACUAAGAACAGAAACUGAGCACUCUGUUUUUCUGGUGCCCAAGCAUGGAAGUUAUUAUAAUAAAAAGAAACAGCUGGUCAGAAUAAAACAAAAUUCAAAACAUGGUGUUUCUCACAAUGCAUAUUGAGGCUUCAUCCACUGAUAUUCCACAACAGAUUAACCGUCAAAAACCCUUAUGUUGAGUAGGAGAAAAGAAGCUCCAUACUUCUCAGGACAUACAGAACAACACCUUGGGUAGAGACCUUGACCAUGCUUGCAGAAAUGUGUUUUUGGAGCAGCAAUCCGAAGUAUAGGAGGCUUCAUAUUUGGGAACACUCCUCAUUCAAUGUAUCAUUGUGACUGAGAUGACUACAUAUUGAGGUUUGAUCAGUUCUAGGAAGGUGACUGGUUAUCAUAAAGCAUUUACCAACCAUUCUUGAAUACAUACUUAUGUGAUUUAGCAGGAUGGAACUGCAACUAGUCAUUAAUUAAGCAACAAAAAUGGCUGUGGUAAGAUUCUGAGACAUUGAUUGUAUAUUCCAUUGUUUUUUAUUUGAGGUUAAAUUCGGCUUUUGUUUUUUUUACUUUUUAAUUCUCUACUGCUUACAUGCCUCUUGUAUCUGAAGAGGCUAAUUGUUCAUGCGGUUGAAUUUUGCAACAUUUUCUUAUUGUUCGGGGCUUAAGCUUCUGUUCAUUUUUUCAUUAUUAUGUUUUUGUGCUUUGUUUUUUAUGACUAAUCCCAUGCCACAUAGUGAAGUGUUCACAGAGAAUGACUGGAAAUUUGUCCAGCUUGGGCUUGCUCUAUUUUAGAACAUUUUAGCCAUUCAAGACAUCUCGUUGCAGUAGAAGGCUGGGAGUCUGCACGCCACUCAAUUUUUAUCUCUGAGUAACCAAUUUUUGGUGCUGUUAUUCUUCAUUGAUUUAGAAGAUGAGCUGUUAUUUUUGGGGAUAUCUGUGUUAUAAUACACAAUAGUAUGCAUUGGGAUAUGCUACUACUGAAAACAGAACAAUCUGUUUUUGUGGCGUCCAAGCAUAAAAGCUAUUGUCACACAGCGAGGUCUGAUUUCCAACUGUGAAUCAAAUUGCUCGAGGUACUUCAUAUGCAGAUCGCUGCAAGUGGCUUUGGCCAUCAAUCUCCUUCAGGGGAUGAUAAUAUUGAGAUUGCAGUGAAGGUUUGGGUGUUUGUCACAAUGCCUGUUGAAGCGUCAUCAGAUGAUAUUUAGUCAUCAGAUGAUAUUUAAUGACAGAUAGGGUAUCUGUGGGGUUGAAAUCUCAUUACAUGCGGCAACACAGUUCUUGAUAUUUAAUGACAGAACGGUAAGCGAACUUUAUAUGUAGUUUUUUCCCUUCUCAUGGGUUCAUUUGUAAGUGUCCCAAUUUUCAAACAGAUGAAUAAUGGAUGGUGAAAGUGUCCUACACAUCAUAGAACAAAGAACAAGGAACAAGGAUCAGGAGUUCCCUUUACCUCUUGGGAUCUGUGUUGACACAUCCAUCUCAAAUUUCACUACUUGCAUUUUCUUUUGGGAAGUUUUUAUUGAGGACAGAAUAAUAAAUUAGCAUAUAGCUCUGUGAUAUCUGUCUAACCAUGCUGGCUUUUCCAUUUUGCAGAUUUGCAUGCUAGAUUUAGUGCUUAAACUAUCACUGGAAGAUUCUAAAGAGCCUCAAACAGCCCACAUCCUUCUUUAAAAGUUAGAUUUAUGAUCAGACUGAUCAAGGGUUGACUCAUUUUCUCUUGAAUCUGAUCAAAUCCUUCGACUCUCAUACUAACCCAAAAGGUUUCCCCUUUCAUUUCAACAACUUAGAAGUUCAUUGUUGAUGAUGAUGUUGCUGUUAUAUUCAUUAUUAUUACAACUAAUUUGAUAAGCAAUUAUUGUUAUUAUUUUUCUUUAUCUUAUAACACAAUCAUAUGAUAAAUGGAAUAUAAUGUCAUGACUGCAUUGAAAUUCUUGACCAAACAGAAAAAUGGGAAAUUUUGCUGUCUAUUUUAAAGCAUUGUAAUCAAUAUAGGGUAUCAUGAUGAUGAAUCAAGUCAACCUUGCCCCUACACUUUUGUGGUUGUGAAUGCAUUGAAAGAAAGUAAUAAUUCAGUCUGUGAAUCAAACAGGCCAUUAGUUCUUCGAAAGACUGAUACUCGAGAUGAAUGGGAAUUUGAGGCUGUAAGGCUGGGACGAUGAUGUAAACGGCACUCGCCAAUGGGUUCCUGAAUGGUCUGCAGUUUCUAAUCCAUGUGAUAUUGCUGGGGCUUGCCCUGUGUAGCUUGGACUGAAGCAAAACUAAUGCCUCCAGCAUGUACAUGCCUGCUGGGGGCUUCUAAUGUGGGAGACGGCGGCCAGUGCUCAGAGAAUUCUUCGGUGUCAACCGCGAGAUGUGAUAAUAAUCAUCGGAAUUCGACUGCUUCCAAGCUGAAGAUGUCGAUAGUGCAGCAAACUAAGUACUAUUAUCUCAUUUUUCCGAUUAUAGCAAAUUACAGUAACAUCUCGCCAUUAUCACAGUGCGGUGAUGCUUGUUUAUCAGACUGUGAUUGUGCUGCUUCCGUGUUGGCUGCUAAACAACUUGGAGUUUGGUGGAUUCGAGGACACGAGUUCGACCUUGUUUGUGAAGGUUGGGCCUAAGGGAUCACCUGGAGGCAACGCAACAGGAUUUGGGGAUUCAUCUGAUGGCCUCUGAGACAAGGUCUUAGUUCUUCCAAUUGUUCUCAGCAUGACUGUCCUUGUAGGACGACUCUGCUUCUUGUUAUACCACAGUGUGUACAGGAGGAGGGCCUUGAAGAGAGCCCUGGAAAGCCCCUUGAUUGUGUCCGGCGCUCCAAUAAAUUUCAGUUACUGUGAUUUGCAGUGCAGAACCGGCAAUUUGCACAGGUCAGCAUGUACAUAUACAUAUAUAGACUUUGAAAAGGAUGAAAUUGCUUGAACAAAGCCAAUUAGACUUGAUCAAUGAGGAUUAAUGUUGUCUUCUUUUUUUUUUUUUUUUUCAUGAGAGUUUGGGAGUGUAUACAAGAUGGGACAUUGGUUGCAGUGAAGAAGCUUGACAAGCCUCUUGGGAAGAAGGAAUUCAUAACUGAAGUGAAAACUAUUGGCUCUAUGCAUCACAUGAACCUGGUUCAACUCUGCGGCUACUGCUCAGAAGGCUCUCACCAGUAUGCAUUUCAUUUCAUUGCCUAAUACCAAUUACCACUAACCAUAUUUAAAUUCUUAUCAUCCUCUUUGGGGGUCAAGCAUACUAUAUCUUCGAGCUUGUAAUGGGGUUGGAAUUUGAUGAUUCUUCACAGGCUUCUGGUUUAUGAGUUCAUGAAAAACGGUUUCUUGGACAAGUGGAUAUUUCCCUCAAAGCAUUGUCGGGACAGACUGCUAGAUUGGGGAACUCGCUUCCAUAUAGCCAUUGCUACUGCACAAGGUAUUGCUUAUUUUCAUGAGCAGUGCAGGAACCGGAUCAUCCACUGUGAUAUCAAGCCCGAAAACAUACUUCUAGAUGAGAAUUUCUAUCCAAAAGUUUCAGACUUUGGACUAGCAAAGCUGAUGGGCAGAGAGCAUUGACAUGUAAUCACUAUGGUGAGAAGAACUAGUGGUUAUUUGGCUCCAGAAUGGGUGAGCAACCGACUUGUUACUGUAAAAGCCGAUGUCUACAGUACAGAUAGCUUCUUUUGGAGAUCGUUGGUGGCUGGAGAAACCUUGACAUGACUUUUGAUGAAGAAGACUUCUUCAAUCCUGGGUGGGCUUUUAAGGUAUAGAUCAGUCAAGUUCUUGCUUUUGUAAAUCACAAAUUGUUAAGUGUUUGAUAUUUUAUUAACAAAAAUGUCAAUUCCUCUAGGAAAUGAGUAAUGGGACGACGAGAAAAGUUGCAGACAGGCGAUCGACUGGAAGGGGCAAUGGAGGAAGAAGAGCUGGAAGAGCAUUGAAAACCGGCUUUUGGUGCAUUCAAGAUGAGGCUUUCAUGAGGCCUUCAACGGGGGAAGUGGUGAAGAUGUUGGAAGGAUCACUUGAAAUCAACACACCGCCAAUGCCACAGACAGUGCUGUAGCCCAUGGACGAAGGCCUAGACAAUGUAUACAGAGCCAUGAAGAGAGAGUUCAACCAGUCCAGCUUCAUCACCAUCAAUAGUACCCAUCCUUCAUCAAGGGCUACAUGUAGUUAUUCCACAAUGUCACCAAGAUAGCAAAGGAGAAAUGGAACAAAUUUUGUUGCUGUCCAAGAAUUUUAUCCCCAUGAUACUUUGAUACUGUCCAGAAACAUAGUAUUUAUUGACCAUUUGUUAAACUAGUAGAGAACUUUGCAUAAUGUUGUUGCUAAGAUUUCAAAUGGUAAAAGAAAUUAUAUUAAUUGCGAAACAAAAACAUAAACAAUUAGGUUGAGGUACGGAAAUCUCGUUCUUUUAAAGGAGAUUUAAGCCAUUUCUAGUUUGACAAUUUCAGAAAUCGGUAUACUUGACUUCUCUUUGGUUUGUCCCCUCAAGGAUACAAUGGUCCAAGUGAUUUGUUGCAUAGCUCACGUCAAUAUGCAUAAAGCAUAGAACUCAAAGCUAGCGGUUCACAAACAAACCUAUUUUUUUUGGCCAAGAGAAAAUAAAUAAAUAAAAAGGAAGAAGGCAGAAGAUGACUAAAAAAAUGUGUUAAAGUUAUAUGACAUUAGGAGGGUGAGUCAAGGCUAAUCAUAAAGUUUGAAAUGUUCAACAAUUUCAAAAUAAUUCAAUCUCGAUAAAUCCCAUUAACAUAAAUGAUAUUUAAUAUUUUUUAAUUUCCAUAAUUUUACAUUUGUAACUACAAAUUUAAUAACCCAUUAUGCCAACUUUAAUCCCUAUAACUUUCAUAUAUAACCACAACGUUAGUAACUAGUUUCUUUAAUCCCAAAUCUCCAUUUUUUUGAACUUUUAAAAACUUUUUUGGACCUCAUAUGACUUAGAUAUUGAUUUGAUAGGUUAAUUAUGCUUAGGGGGUGUUCAAUUGAUGCUUGAAAAAAAUCAAAAUAAAAAAAGACUAAGAAAUGAGUAAGGAUACAAAGCAUGUCAAAAUAUGAUAUCCCACAUCGGAUAUGGAAGAAAGUUCUUGACACUAUAUAUGUAGAGACUCCUCUUAAUUAUGUAAACGUGUCUUAAAACCAUGAGGGUCCCUUUGGGUUUAAAGCGAACAAUAUCUAUACUACGAAAAAUGUGAUGAAUUCUCGCAUUCUUCAUACCCUCCUCCACUUCUUUGAACUUUAAAAAAAAAAAUUGAACAUCAUAUGAUUUUGAUAUUGAUUAAAUAGGUUAAUUACACUUGGUGGGUAUGAGAUUAAUGCCCGAAAGAAUUGAAAUCGAAAAUUUAAAAAAAAUUUUGAGGAUUCCUCACACUCUUCAUACCUUAUCAAAUUUCCACUUCUUUCAAUUUUUGAAAUCUUUUUUGAAUGUCAUAUGGAUUGAAUAUUGAUUAAAUAAGUUAAUUUAGAAGGUGUGAAAUUGAUGUCUGAAAAAAUCAAAAUCCAAAAAUAUUAAAAAAUUAGCAAAGAGUGUGGAAUUCCUUAUUGCUACUAAUUAUAUUAUUAUUAUUAUUUUGUAUUUUCAAUACUUCAACCAAUAUUUGAUGUGAUUAAAUUUAAAAUGUAAGAAAGAAUUUAUUAAUACAAUUUUCAAUUAAUAAUUAGUACACAACUAUCUUAAUUUUUAAACAUUGUAUACUUAUUUAAAUUUAUUUUCAUAUUUUUAUAAAAGUGUAAUUACACUUACAAUUUAUUGAAAUUUUUGUAAAGCUCCUGAGACGUAAAGGUUAUAUCACGAUACUGAAUUCUGCUAUGCUCGCCUUUCAAGCUCUGAUGCUCCACGCCUGCAGCUCCGUUCUUUGCAACUGAAAUACACCAUUAGCUAUGUCCGCCUGUGAUUAAUGCUCUUGCCAAUGGAGCCGGUGAAAUUUAUUUACAUUGUUUUUCUUUCCAAAGUAUUUUUUUAGAUGGAAAGAAAAAGAGACAAAUUAUAAAAAAUAAAUCUCCAAUACCAAUAUUUAAAAAUGAUUUAUCUAUUUGUCAACACAAUUUGAGUGGAAGAAUAAUCAAGACAUGUGAAAAUCUAUAUAUCAGGAAUCAAAUAGGGCCCAAGAACAGGUUCCAACAAGAACCAUCAAUGGGUUGCCCAAUCAAUAACAAAAGGCCCGGUCUCAUGGAUCACACAAAAUGGAGUCACCACACGAUAGGUUUAAACCCAAAUAUAAAUUUCAAGUUCAUAUUUUCAAUCCCAUUUAUAAUUUAUUUAUUCAAAUUAGAAAUCUAUUUAUCAAGAAUUAAGUUAGAGUGCAUGGAGACCAAAGUUAAGAGAGAGGAUCAUGCCAAGAUUUAAAAUGAACAAAAUAUUUAUGAUUUAUCUAUAAUAAAUAUUCAAAUAAUAUUAAAAAAAAAACUAAUUAUUUUGAUGAUCAUAAAAUAUAUCAUUAUUGAAAUACAAACAAAUUUAAAUAAUAAAAUCUUUUUUUAUCUUAAUAAUUAAAAGUUACAUAUUUAAUAAAAUUAAAAUUACUAAUAAUUUAAUAAAUCUUUGUGUCAUUCUUAUCAUAAUUUAAGUUGUCAACAUUAAUGAUAUAAGAUGAUGAAAUGUAUUUAAAUUUUUUAAUUAUUUAUAUAUUUUUAAUUUCUUAUAAUUAGUUUAAAUUUUAAUAAUAUAUAAAUUAUAUAUUUAUGAGAUUACCAAUUUGAUCACUGUUUAACCAUAAAUCAAUAAUUUUUCUCAUUGAAUAAUCAAUCUAAUUCUAAAAACAUUGAUAAAAACUAAAGAAUCUUUAUUAUAAAAAAAAUAAAAGAUGUAAAAAACAAAUAAUUUGACUAGUCAAAGUAAAGGUCAUGGGUGACUUUUGGAAGCCUAGAAUAACAUAGGAAAUGUACAAGAAAUCAUUGAGCUUGCCAUUUAUUUCAGUAUUUGGAGGAUAAUAUUUAAUUUUUAAUCAUAUAAAAACAAAAGUAUAUUUAAUUCAUUAUUUUCUAAUAUUAUCUUAGAAAUAUUUUUAGAGAUAUAUUUAUUUUAGAACUUAUUGAGGAUAUUAAUACAAUGAAUUUGAUAAAUGUAAUAUAAAAAUGUAUAAAGUCAUUAAUUUUUUUUAUUUAUUAAAUUUGAAAUAUACAUAUCAUGUAGUAAUUUUUUGAAAAAAAAGAUUACUUUUAUAAAGCCAAUUCAAGGAAAAAGAAAACAUAACACUAUCCUCACUUCUCCGUGGUGUUUUAUUUCAUAUUAGAAAUCCUUCUAAUAAAAUUUCCUUUCUAAAAAUUUUAAAAAUAUUUUUUAUAACUACAAAAAAAAAAAAAAAAAAAAAAAAAAAAGCAUUACACUUAUCUUAUUCAUUACACUUUUAGAUUAUGUUGGUUUUAUUGGGAGCAGGGGGAAGGGAAUGGGAAGGAGAAAGUAGGUUUGCUUACUUGGAAAUGCUAUUUACAGAGAGACGGGGGUUUAGCCAGCUGAGAUUUGAAACAAAGAAAGGAAAGCUGGUGAUGGUGGAUUGAAUAUAGAGAAUGUGGGGUUUUGGGGUUGGGAGGCAUAUAUUCUUGACUGUUACGGUAACAACAUUUAUGAAAUGGACACAGCCUCCCUGAUGGUAGUACUCCAAAACGAUGUCGUUUCAGGACCCAAAAAGACAGGGUUUUAUCUCCCUCACCGCAUUGUAAUUAUUAUUAUUACGAUGGUUAAAAUUAGGAGUCAAUUUCUUGGGAUAUUCCACUAAUAAAAAAUAAAUAUAUUAUUUAUUUUAUUUUAUUUUUUAUUUCACUUAUCUUAUCAUAUUGUAGACCCCCCAUACGGUGAGGGCUUUUGGGUUUUUUUUGUUUUUGUUUUUUUUGUUUUUUAUUUUAUUCUUCUGACCACCCUAGAAAUUAAGCUGCAUGGGGCGGCAGAUGGGAUGGGUGGCAGGGGGCAAGCGGUGGCUUGCUGAGGAAGACGAGAGAAAAUAAAAAAAAAAAGAGGAAAAGGAAAAGGGAGAUCUGCAGAGGGUGGGAGGACUUUUCCGGAGAGCAGAAGACACCACUGUCAGUUGGAGGGCUCAGGUAUGGCCAUCUUCUCAAUUUUGGGUCUUUCUUUUUCGCUAUUUUUACUCAAUUCAUGCUGUGAAUCUAUUCUUCUCUGUCAUUGGGCUUGUUGAUUAUUGCUUUGGCACCUUUCUCUCCGAACCCCAUGCUCGUCCCUGCCUCACCCACGUCCCACGCAUGGCCGUCACCCUCACCUAUCUUCCUCAUCACCUCUUUCUCCCUCUAAUCGCCAUACCCGACUCCACAAGGACUCCCAAGGUCGCUCUUCUGCACGCAUGGAGUCCAAGCAAGCAUGCUGCCCCUCCCCGCAUCUCCUUGCUGCGCGCACCGCGCCGACGAGGCGCUUGCUCGUCUCACCAGCCGUUGCCUCGCCGCCAACCGCCAUCACCCGCUCCGGCUACGCUCACAUCUGCUCUUGCUCCGGGACCGCGUCGCCGCUGCCAUCGCUCCAGGACCACGCCGCCGCUGCAAUCGCUCCAGGACUACGCCGCCGCCGCCAUUACCCGCGACAGCGCCACCGCUGCCAUAGCCCGCGGCAGCGCCACCGUCUUCGCCUGGAAGGGCGAGAUCCUCCCGAGGCCUAGGAGCUGUCCACCAAGCUUGGAGAAAUCCGUGACUCCGAGCACCGUCGCCGCAGCCAGACGCGAGGGGGGGGGGGGGGGGGGGAACUAGGAAGAAGAUGAAGUCUUGUUGGGCUUGGGCUAAGGCUAGGCCCAAUUUGUGUUUGGUUUUGGCUAGGCCCAGUUUUGAGUUUGGUUUUGGGUUUGGGUUAUGAAGGCUUUGGGCUUGGGUUUGAGUUUGGAGCCCAGGCCCAAGCCUAUGCUGAAGAUGGGGCCUUUGUCUUGAGCCCAUUUCUAUUAUUACCAUAAUUAUUAUUAUUGUUAUUUUUAAUUAUUAUUGUCAUUGCUAUUAUUAUUACUAUUAUUAUUAAUCAUUGUUAUCAUUAUAUUUACUACUAUUAUUAUUAAUCAUUAUUAUCAUUAUAAUUAUUAUUAUUAUUAUCAUUAAUUAUUAUUGUCAUUGCUAUCAUUAUUAUUAUUGCUAUUAUUAUUACUAUUAUUAUUAAUCAUUGUUAUCAUUAUAUUUAUUAUUAUUAUUAUUAAUCAUUAUUAUCAUUAUAAUUAUUAUUAUUAUUAUCAUUAAUUAUUAUUGUCAUUGCUAUCAUUAUUAUUGUUAUUAUGAUUGUUGCUAUUAUUAUUAAUCAUUGUUAUCAUUAUAUUUAUUAUUAUUAUUAUUAAUCAUUAUUAUAAUUAUAAUUAUUAUUAUUAUUAUUAUUAUUAUUAUUAAUUAUUAUUGUCAUUGCUAUCAUUAUUAUUAUUAUCGGCAUUAUGAUUGUUACUAUUAUUAUUAAUCAUUGUUAUCAUUAUAUUUAUUAUUGUUAUUAUUAAUCAUUAUUAUCAUUGUUAUUAUUAUUAUUAUCAUUAUUAUCAUUAAUUAUUAUUAUCAUUAUUAUUAACUCAACUUUCAAAAUCUAUUUAUCAUUAUUAUUAUUAUCAUUAAUCCAAACUUUCAACACCUAUUCAUUAUUAUUAAUUAUUAUCAUUAAACCCAACUUCCAAAAUCUCAUCAUUAUCAUUAUUAUCAAUUCACAUUUUCAACACCUAUUUAUUAUUAUUUAUUAUUAUCAUUAGUCCAAACCUCCAAGAUCUCAUCAUUAUUAUUAUAAUUAACUCAACUUUCAAAAAUCUAUUUAUUAUUAUUAUCAUCAUUAAUCCAAGCUUUCAAAAACCUCAUCAUUAUUGUUAUUAUUACCUCAACUUUCAAAAUAUUAUUAUUAUUAUUAUUAUUAUUAUUAUCAUUGAUUAAUACUUUCAAAACCUUAUUAUUAUUAUUAUUAUUAUUAUUAAUUCAAACUUUCAAGACCUUAUUAUUAUUAUUAAUUCAAACUUUCUAACUUCCAAUUUCCAAGCCCAAUUUAUAAAAAUUCAACCUUCAAAUAAUACUUCAAAAUUCCGACAUUUAAAAUUCAAUUCCAAUUUCCGAAAAUUCUCAUACUCACUUUAAUUUAUUUAAUCACUAAUACUUUAUUCAUUUAUUUUUAAAACUCCAUUCUUAAUCUAUUUAUUUAAAAUUUCUGUUUGCCGAAUUAAAUUCCGAAAAUUCCCAUUCUCACUUCAAUUUAUUUAAUCACUAAUACUUUAUUCAUUUAUUUUUAAAAACUCCAUUCUUAAUCUAUUCUUUAAAAUUUCCAUUUACCGAAUUAAAUCCCGAAAAUUCCUAUACUCACUUUAAUUUAUUUAAUCACUAAUACUUUAUUCAUUUAUUUUUAAAACUCUAUUCUUAAUCUAUUCUUUAAAAUUUCCAUUUACCGAAUUAAAUUCCGAAAAUUCCUAUACUCACUUUAAUUUAUUUAAUCACUAAUACUUUAUUCACUUAUUUUAAAACUAAUCUAUUCUUUAAAAUUUCCGUUUAUCGAAUUACAUUUCUAUUUUUGAAAAUUCCAGUAUUCACAUUAAUUUAUUUAAUUAUUAUUAUGUUAUUUAUUUAUUCUAAAAUUCUAUUUUAAACAAUUCAUUUAAAACUUUCGAUCUCUGAAUUAAAUUUCUAUUUCUGAAAAUUUCACUAUUCACAUUAAUUUAUUUAAUUAUUAUUAUGUUAUUUACUUAUUCUAAAAUUCCAUUUUAAACAAUUCAUUAAAAUUUCCGACUUUCGAUUUUAAUUUCUAAUUCCAAAAACUCCAAUAUUCGCAUUAAUCUAUUUAAUUAUUAUUAUUUUAUUUAUUUAUUCUAAAAUUCUAUUUUAAACAAUUCAUUUAAAACUUUCGACUUCCGAAUUAAAUUUCUAUUUCUGAAAAUUUCAAUAUUCACAUUAGUUCAUUUAAUUAUUAUUAUUUUAUUUAUUUAUUCUAAAGUUCCGUUUUAAACAACUCAUUAAAAUUCUCGACUUCUGAUUUAAUUUAUAAUUCCAAAAUUCCAAUACUCACAUUAAUCUAUUUAAUUAUUAUUAUUUUAGUUAUUUAUUUCGAAAUUCCAUUUUAAACAAUUCUUCAAAAUUCAAAAUUCGGAACUUAAUUUCCAAUUUCCAAAAUUCUAAUUUCUUUCAAAUUUAAUAUCCAAAAUUCCAAUUCUUAAAUUUAAUUCUCAAGACUCCAAUCUUCAAAUAAUUUUCGAGACUCCGAUUUCCAAAUAAAUAUCCAAAAUCAAGUUUUUACUCCAAUAGUUUUAAUUCCAUUUCGGUUCUUAAAUAAUCUUUUGAUCUUCUGGAUUUUACAUAAGCAAUAAUGAAUUCUUCAUAAUUCUAAAACAUGGAAUUUGUGAGAUUAGUUCAUGAACAAUAAAUUGGGCUUUGGUGGGGGGGCCAUAUGAUUGAUCCCUAUUGAUUGUCAACUGUUGUGCUUGAUAUAUUUUGCUCGAUCUUCAUUUUGCGCUCCGAUAUGCAUGAGCUAUAAUUCGUAUUCGUUAAUUGUGUACUAAUCCCGUUUCUUGAUAGCGCAUUGUGGCUCGUGGCUCAGGUACGCACACAUUUUCAUUUUGAUCAUUCUCUAUGCAUGUUGGAUUUUCAUAUGUGCAUGAUUUGACUUAGGCAUCCAUUGAUUGUCACGUCGGCUUCAUUUUAUUAGUAGAGACCCGACUUUAGGGGCUUAGAGGGGUGCUACGGUCUUUACCGUACCUUCCCGAUGAGUAACCUGACCCCCGAACCCGAUCCGAUUUUUCACAGACCACCUUUUCCAAAAUAAGGAGUCACACUUAGGGUUUUUCUUUCUUAUUUUGUUUACCCUUUUAAAAUAAAACAAAAAUAAGUGGCGACUCCAAGUCAUUUUCAAAUAGUCAAUAAAAAUCAAUUUUCCUAAAUAAACAUCGAGCUCGCCAUUGAGUGGGAAACGCAUUGAGCCGAAAUGCGGGGUCCACACAUAUAUUUAACUAAAUAUGACAUAAGAUAAACUAUGAGAUAUAUUAUUUGUUUUAUUUUUUAUAAAUAUGUUAAUACCAAGUUAAAUUAUAUAAAAUACACAUAUCCCCUGUAUUAUAAAUUUAUUUAUUUAUUUAUCUAUUUUUAAUUUAUAAAAUAAUUUUUUUAUAAUAAAAUAUAAUUUAUGGUUAAAAAGAACUCAAAAAUUUAUAAAAUAUAUUAUAAAAUAAUAUUAAUUAUAUGUAUUAUUUAAUAUAUAAAUUAUUUUUAUAUAUUUCAAAUAACAUAAUAUAAAAAAAUUAUUUAUAAAGUUUAAAUAUUUUAAUCAUGAAUAUUUUUAUAUUUUUUUAAAUAAAAAAUAUUAGAAUAUAAUAUAAAUUUUAUUUUAAAAUUUUAAAAAUAAUAUAUAUUCUAUUUUAUGUUUUUAUUCAUUUUAUAAACUAAAUAUAAAUCUAAUAUAACAUGUUUUAUUGGAUAUCUUAGUUUAAGAUAUCAUAUCCAUUGCAUAUAAUAUAUCACAUUCAAUUGAAAAUCAUAUAGCAUGAGAUAUGAUAUUUCAAGAUAUAUAUACAUAUAUAUUUUAUCCAAUGAACCAACAUAAUCUAAAUUAGUUAUAAAAUAUAUUAUUUUUAAAAGUGUUUAUUUCUUAGUCAUUACACUUUAUUAUUAUUAUUAUUAUUAUUAUUAUUAUUAUUAUUAUUAUUAUUAUUUUCUUUAUUUUUUUCACAUGCAAUGAUAGUUUCUAGUCAUCAUGCCUUGCAAGACCCAAUACUCACAAAAUUUACAAGUUUACUCAUCAUAUCUUUUAAAUUUUUUGUUACUCCUAAAGUAUUCAAGACUUUUAGCAAUGUCAUAUCCUUAUCACUACAACUAACAACUUUGACCAAUUCAAAAAAUGAACUUCACAUGCAAUAGUAGUUCUAAUCAUCAUGUCUUGCAAGACCCGAUAGUUACAAAAUUUUCAAGUCUACUAUUCAUCAUAUCUUUUAAAAUUUUGGUUACUCAUAAAGUAUUCAAGACUUUUAGCAAUGUCAUAUCCUUAUCAUUAUAACUAAGAACUUUGCCCAAUUCAAAAAAUGAACUUCUCAUGCAAUAGUUCUAGUCAUCAUGCCUUGCAAGACCCGAUAGUUACAAAAUUUUCAAGUCUACUACUCAUCAUAUCUUUUAAAAUUUUGGUUACUCAUAAAGUAUUCAAGACUUUUAGCAAUAUCAUAUCCUUAUCAUUACAACUAAGGACUUUGCCCAAUUCAAAAAAUGAACUUCACAUGUAAUAGUAGUUCUAGUCAUCAUGCCUUGCAAGACCCGAUAGUUACAAAAUUUUCAAGUCUACUACUCAUCAUAUCUUUCAAAAUUUUGGUUACUCAUAAAGAAUUCAAGACUUUUAGCAAUGUCAUAUCCUUAUCACUACAACUAAGAACUUUGCCCAAUUCAAAAAAUGAAUUUCACAUGCAAUAGUAGUUCUAGUCAUCAUGCCUUGCAAGACCCGAUAGUUACAAAAAUUUCAAGUCUACUACUCAUCAUAUCUUUUAAAAUUUUGGUUACUCAUAAAGUAUUCAAGACUUUUAGCAAUGUCAUAUCCUUAUCACUACAAUUAAGAACUUUGACCAAUUCAAAAUAUGAACUUCACAUGUAAUAGUAAUUUUAGUUAUCAUGCCUUGCAAAACCCGAUACUUACAAAAUUUUCAAGUCUACUACUCAUCAUAUCUUUUAAAAUUUUGGUUACUCAUAAAAUAUUCAAGACUUUUAGCAAUUCAAAAGUGCAUGCUUUAGAAAGUUAUUACUUUUUGUAGUUUAAAUGUGAGUGUUAUGUAUUUGUCUUUUCACAUAUUUAUAUAUAACCUAGAUGGCCAAUCAGGCCAUUACCAUACAAUUUUUUUUUUUUUUUUAUAUAUAAUCUCAUAAAGCAUUUUCAAUUUUUUUUUAUAAUGUAUAUAAAAUAAUGUCAAUCCAUUUACACUUACGAAAAUGAUUUUUCUUAAAAAUGUCAAAGGCAACGAGGUAUGAAUAUUUUUAUAUCUGGAAACUGCAGGGACCCACUAAGGGGAGUACAUGCUAUUAGUGUCGGUGAGGAGAAGAUAGAGGAAACACAUUGGGGGGUGAGUCAAGGAGGAAGGGGCGUGCCGCCCUGCCGGGAGCGUGGUGGCAUGAAUUACUUGGGCGGAGCGAGAUGUCACGUGGACCGCGCUUUGCGCGGACACGCGGCGACCUGCAGAUCCGGAGGGGCGACGUUGUCUAACGAAUUUUAGAAAUUCGUGCCACUAGCCAUAUGGAUUUUGGACUAAAAUAAAAAACAAGACUUUAUUUUUGUUAUUUCUUUUAUAAGGAUGUCAUAAUUAAUAAUUCAAAAAUGUUAAUAAUUAAUUAUUAAAGAGAUUUUUGCUACUCUUCGAAAUUAUAAAAAAGUUUAUACACUCAUAAAACAAAUAAAUGUAUCUUCUAAUAAAUAAAUUUUUAUUAAAAUAAAUAAAUAUAUAUCUAAUUUUGAAUUUAUUAAUAUGAAGUAAAUUGUAUGUAUCUUAAGUUAGAUUUCUUAUUGAUUAAAAAAAAAGACCAUUCAAGGUUUAGCUAGAUGAAAAAAAAAUCUUUAUUUAUUAGAAAAUUCAAUUUUUUUUGAAUGAUGAAUCAUUGAUAAUGAUAUAUAAAAAUAAUUUAUAUAUCAUAUAUUAAUAUUACUUUAUAAAUAUUUUUAGUUUUUCUUUUUUAACCAUAAAUUUAAUUUAUAAUUAAAAAAAUUAUUUUAUAAAUGGUAUCUCUUGUCAUCAUACCUUUCAAGACUCUAAGCUCAUAAAAAUUUUCAGUAUUUUCAUCAUAUCUUUUAAAAAGCCAUGUAUAACGGGUCUUUUUUUUCUUAAGUUUAAGUCAAUAAAUCAAAUUAAAAAAAAUAAUAAACUUUCAUUAUUGUAUUUUAUAUUGUAGCGAGAGACUUAAAAAGUCAUGUAUAACAAGUCUUCCUUUCAUAAGUCAAGUCAAUAAAUAGAAUUAAAAGAAAUAAUAAAUUUUCAUUAUUGUACUUUGUCUUGUAGCAAGAGACUUAAAAACCCAUGUAAGAGGUCUUCAUUUCUUAAGUCAAGUCAAGUCAAGUCAAUAAAUCGAAUUGGAAGUUUUUCCUUUUCUCUUUUUUUAAACCAACUUCUACUAUUACUUUUAUUAAUUAUUUUGAUCAUUUGAUUAAAUAUUAAAUUAUUAUUAUUUUUUUUCAAGUACAAACCAUUUCAUGUUAAAAAAUUUAAAGUGGAUCUAACUUUCUUUACAAGUUAAGAUAUCUUGAUAAAGGGAUAAAUAAUGGAUUGUAAUAUUUCAACUUUAAUUAAGUUAAUUUAUCAAUAUUCAAACUAAGUUGGAGAAAAAAAAAAAACAAAGACAACACCUCAAUUUUAGUUUUCCAUUACACAUGGUUAUUUCUUUUUCUUCUUUUUCCUUUGCUUCUUUGACACGCAAUGGUAUCUUUAGUCAUCAUACAUUAAAAAAAACAAGAUAAAGAAACAUUAGUCUACAUUGAGUGUGUUAAUAUGAAGUACAUUUUGUAGAUGAUGAAUCAUUGAUGAAGAUAGGCUAAGGAAUUUUUUCGGUCUAUAGAAUGACUUGUUAAUUAAAGUUGGAAUAUUAUAGUACUUUAUUUUUAUUAUCUCUUUAUCAAGAUGUCUUAAUUAAUGAUUCAAAAAUGUUAAUAAUAUCAUAAAAGAUAUUUUUUCUACUCUUGAAAAUUAUAAAAAAAGUUUAUACACUCAGAAAACAAAUUAUCUUCUAAUAAAUAAAUUUUAUUAAAAUAAAUAAAUAUAUGUCUACUUUGAAUUUAUUAAUAUGAAGUAAAUUGUAGGUAUCUUAAGUUAGAUUUCUUAUUGAUAAAAGAAAAAGACCAUUCAACAUUUAACUAGAUGGAAAAAAAAUCUUUAUUUAUUAGAAAAUUCAAAUUAUUUUUUGAAUGAUGAAUCAUGGAUAAGGAUAAAUACUCUAGAUGGGUCAAAUAUGGUAGAUAACUUGGUUCCAAUAAAUAUUACAUUAAAUUUUUUUGGAACUUAUAUUUCUGCUAACUAAAAGCAACCUCUAUAUGGAUUCAAUAUAGAGGAUGGUGUGACCGUAAAGUUAUUUCUUUAAAUUUUUGGCCGUAUAUUGUCACUUAACUACCACUUAUAAUAAUAAUAAUGAUGAUGAUGAUAGAGGAAACUGCAUGGGACCCACGAAGGCAUGGGGAGUACACGCUAUUGGUGUCGGUGAGGAGAAGAUAGAGGAAACACAUUGGGGGGUGAGUGAGGGAGCAAGGGCGGGAUGGAGUCAACAAGAGUGUUGACUGAGGAUAAUAAAGGGGCACGCCGCCCUGCCGGGAGCGUGGUGGCAUGAAUUACUUGGGCGGAGCGACAUGUCACGUGGACCGUGGCGACCUGCAGACCCGGAGGGGUAGCGUUGUCUAACGGAUUUUAGAAAAUUCGUGCAACUAGCCAUAUGGAUUUUGGAAUAAAAUAAAAAAUAAGACUUUAUUUUUGUUAUUUCUUUUAUCAAGAUGUCUUAAUUUAUAAUUCAAAAAUGUUAAUAAUAAAUUAUAAAAGAGAUUUUUGCUACUCUUCGAAAUUAUAAAAAAGUUUAUACACUCAUAAAACAAAUAAAUGUAUCUUCUAAUAAAUAAAUUUUUAUUAAAAUAAAUAAAUGUAUAUCUACUUUGAAUUUAUUAACAUGAAGUAAAUUGUAGGUAUCUUAAGUUAGAUUUUUUAUUGAUUAAAGAAAAAGACCAUUCAAGGUUUAACUAGAUGGAAAAAAAAUCUUUAUUUAUUAGAAAAUUAAUUUUUUUUUAAUGAUGAAUCAUUGAUAAUGAUAUAUAAAAAUAAUUUAUAUAUAUCAUAUAUUAAUAUUAUUUUAUAAAUAUUUUUAGUUUUUCGUUUUUAACCAUAAAUUUAAUUUAUAAUUAAAAAAUUUAUUUUAUAAAAUAAAUAUAUAAAAAAAUAAAUUUAUGAUAUAUGAGAUAUACAUAUCUUAUAUCUUAGUAUAGAAUUAACAUAUUUCGUGUAAAAGGAAUAAAAAAAGAGUGAAUAAUAUAUUUCACCACUUAAACUAUCUCAUCAUUAAUUAAAUAUAAAAUUUGAUGUAAUAUCUUCUCUUUUAUCCUGUAUGAUGUUACAUUUGAUCAACCAAACAUAACCUAUAAAGUUAAAAUUAUAGAAAUGAAAUGUAAGAGACCUUACUGAAAAAUAGAAAGUAAAAUGAUUGAUUUUUGAAAGUAAAUAUUGAUAAUAUUAUAAAAUUUUCACUAACAUAAAUUAAAAAAUUCAAGGAAAAAAAAAACAUAACACUAUCCUCACAAUUCCGUGAUAUUGUUUUUUUCAUAUUAGAAAUCCUUAUAAUCAACUUUCCUUUUUAUACGUUUUAAAAAGAAUUUUUAUUACUAAUUUAGAUUAAAAAAAAAAAAAAAAACCUUUCAACCAACCACACAUGUGACAUGGUGGUUGUUUUUAAAUUUCAAUAAAAGAUUUUAUAAUUAUUAAGAAAAGAAAAAAAUGUUAAAAAAAAAUGAUUAUUUUUUUUUAUUAUGAAAUAUACGAAAGUAAAAAUAUAUAAUUAAAAUUAAUAAAAAAACUAAUAUAUUUUAAAAUUAUUUACUUUUUAUUUUUAAAAAUUAAAUAAAUAAAAUAAAUUUAAAAUAAAAUAUAAAAAUAAUUUAUUAAUUUUAAAUUUAUUUUUUAUUUCUCUCUCACUUGUUCUUUAAGACGUGUUGUGUGUAAAAUACCAUAAAACAAGUCAUAUCACCAUGCUCAAGAUUUCAACAUGGUAGGUGUAGGUUUUGAAGACUUUUCCAUAUGAUUAAUACUUGGAUACCUGAAUUUUCUUUGGGUGGGGUUGGGCUUCUGUAAGUUUCUCUGCAAUUUUCUCCUACUUGGAAACAAAGGAAUGGUCAAAGAGAGGAACUCAGUGAAGAGAAGAUUGAAACGGACUGGAUACACCCUCGCUUGCUCCGAAGGUUGGUAUGAUCUUCAUGGUCGGUAGGCCUUCUCAAGUCUCCAUGCAUGCCUCAUUUUUCCCAUAUGAUAAAUCAAUGGUAGGAAGAGCGAGCUUCACACGAACAAACACAAUAAAAUCAUUAAAUUUUUGGAAUAAUAAUAUGAUGAAGUUGAUAAAUGAUAAGGAUUAGGAAGAUGUUUAAUGAAAUUUUAAACUAAUAAUAAUUAGAUGUAUUUAACCUAAACUUUUGGAGAGAUUAAUGAAAUUAAUCAUAUAAAAAUUUCUCUAAUUUUAAUUUUAGAAUAAAUAUUAACAAUAUUUUUUUCAAAUAUAAAUAAUAAUAUUUGGAAAACAUCAUCAGUAAAUUGCCUUUUCAAUUUUUUGUCUAAUUGUCAUUUUAAAUGAAUAUUAAAAUCCUUUUAGUAAAAUUUAUGAAUUUAGUAAAAUAUUAAUAUCUAUAUUUUAUAAAUUUUAAUAAAGUUUUAUUAUUUUUAAUAAAAAAAAAAUUAUAUAAGUUGUGUUUGUCUUAUUAGUAUCACUAUUUACAAAAUUUAUCUUUAUAUUAUUUAUUUUAAAAAUUAUUAUUUAUUAAGAAUCAUUUUUAUAAAAGGUAAAAAAUAAUUACCAUAUAAAUAUAAAUUAAAAGUCGAGGUUAUAUUUGUUAAUUAUUUUUAAAAAGGGAUUUCAAAACAUUACUUUCUCCAAAAAUAACAAUAAUAAUAUUAUAAACACAAUAUUUACUCAAAAUAUUAUGUAAAUGAAAAACUUAAAAAUAAUAUAUAUUUGUUUUUUAAAAAAUAUUUUUAGUCAUAAUUAAAGGUCAUCUACUCAACAUGUUGGUGGGAAUGGUAUAUAAGUCAAUGCCUGCUUUGCUCACAAAUCAAAAACCAAAACUUGCUAAUCCUUGUUAUUACACACUAUCCUUGCUCUGUGUUGAACAUGGCUACAAGCCCCUUUCGAUAUUUUAUUUCCCUUUUUCUGCUUUUGCUCUGUUUCGAAGCCUGUUUGAGGGUGGGUGAUGCUACAGUUGGGUGCAGAGAGAGGGAGAGGCAAGCUCUCCUUCACUUCAAACAAGGUGUUGUCGAUGACGAUGGAGUGCUUUCUUCAUGGGGGAAUGGGGAAGACAAAAGAGAUUGUUGCAAAUGGGCAGGAGUGGAGUGUAACAACCAGACGGGUCAUGUGAUCAGGCUUGAUCUUCAUGACCAAUCUUUGGGAGGUAAGAUAUCUCAGCUUGGUCCUUCAUUGGCAGAGUUGCAGCACUUGAAGCAUUUGAACCUCAGCUAUAAUGAUUUUAAAGGUAAUUAUAUACAUAUAUACCUUGUGAAAAUUCAUCAGCUUGUCUCAGCAGAAUAUAAUUCUCUCUUUUCCCAAUUUUACAGGAAUUCUUCCCACUCAACUUGGAAAUCUUUCCAAUUUGCAAUCCCUUGAUCUCGGCAGUAAUUAUGGGCAUAUGAGCUGUGAGAACCUUGACUGGCUUUCUCACCUUCCUUCGUUAACACACCUUGACUUGAGUGGGGUUUAUCUUAGUAAAGCAAUCCACUGGCCACAAGCAAUUAAUAAAAUGCCUUCCCUAACUGAGUUAUACUUGAGUGAUACUCAGCUUCCUCCGAUUAUUCCAACAAUAUCCAUUUCCCAUAUUAAUUCUUCUACUUCUCUUGCUGUGCUUCAUCUCUCCUUGAAUGGUCUCACUUCUUCAAUAUACCCAUGGUUGUUCAACUUCAGUAGCAGCCUUGUUCAUCUUGACCUCUCUAUGACUGAUCUAAAUGAAUUAAUUCCGGAUGCUUUUGGAAACAUGACUACUCUGGCAUAUCUUGAUCUCUCUUGGAACGAGCUAUGUGGUUCAAUUCCGGAUGCUUUUGGAAACAUGACUACUCUGGCAUAUCUUGAUCUCUCUUUGAACGAGCUACGUGGUUCAAUUCCGGAUGCUUUUGGAGACAUGACUACUCUGGCACACCUUGACCUUCAUUCUAAUCAUCUAAAUGGAUCAAUUCCGGAUGCUUUUGGAAACAUGACUAGUCUGGCAUAUCUUGAUCUCUCUUCGAAUCAA
This 52913-nucleotide long non-coding RNA is filed under the name Vitis vinifera (wine grape). RNAcentral's name for it is "long non-coding RNA (VVIN_LNC005530)". Lineage: Eukaryota; Viridiplantae; Streptophyta; Magnoliopsida; Vitales; Vitaceae. The record is from RNAcentral.